RNAcentral lists this long non-coding RNA (56588 nucleotides) under Hordeum vulgare. Its description in RNAcentral is "long non-coding RNA (HVUL_LNC003417)". Lineage: Eukaryota; Viridiplantae; Streptophyta; Magnoliopsida; Poales; Poaceae. The record is from RNAcentral.
GCGGAAUGAUGAUGGAGGGAGGGUGGUGUGCUGGUGGUUGGGCUGGCCGAUGUCCUACUACUGAAAUGUGUACACACACUGUCACGGAGAGACAGACGUAUACGACGCCCGUGCGCAGACACAGUUCACCCACUACGCGCGCGCGCACCGGGAACGGAAUGAGGCGGUAGUGCGCCGUGGAUCUUUGUAGCCCCCGCCUCCGGGUUGACGACGGGCGGCCAGGUGUCUACGCUCCGCUGAAAAGUGAAAACCCCAUCCCAGCCCCGCGCUUCUCGCGUGGCGCCGCUGGUCGAUGACGUGCGGGGCCGGGCGCGGCUGUGAGUGGUGGGACUGUGCGACAGUCGGGGAGGAAACCGCCAGCGGCAGGGGCCACCGCCGGUUUACACUUUUGGUGGCUGUGGAAGCAAGGAAUCGCUGCUGCUUUUUUUCCGUUUGUUUUGUUUGUUCCCUUCCCGCCCGUGCCGCGUUGGGCGCGACGGCAUCGUCCUACUCGUUCGUGUGACACGGACGGCCGGUUCCGAGCUCCGCUCCGCGUGGUGGGCGUGAAGGGCCUGGUUUCCGGCCAUAUUUUCCCAAACCAAAAUUUGACAGCAACAGUUUAGUUGGCAUAUGUUUGUUUUUGUCAUACUUUAACUUGCCAUAUUUUAUUGUUGCUAUGACCCAUUUGUCAUAGAAUCAUUUUUUUUGCCAACUUUUGCUAAUGUUUGGCGUUCGUUUUUUCAGCCACACUUUAAUAAUUUGCCACACUUUGAUUUGAUAAAAUUAGUCUCCAACCAAACAUGCCCGAAAUCUGCGCCGUGGUGUUGCUUUUUCCCGGGGGAGCAGUCGGUCAGUCGAGCAGCGCGCGCAGGAGAGGACAGACAGCGGUGCGCAGCUGGACGCGAGGUGGACGCUUUGCACGCCUCGUGCUACUGUAAUGAUAAUAACCGCUCCGGGGUCAAAAGGGAUCAUCGCGGGGGCGCUCAGGUGCGCGUGUUGUGGUUGUGAGGAGAGAUCUGUGAAAGCCGAAAGUGUCACCAGGAAAAAGUUACGGCAGGAGCUGGGGCGGCCACGAUGUGUGGCGCCGUGGCAACCCUAGCGUGACCGGCGCUGGCUGUUUUCAUUUUUAUUAUCGGCGGUUCUUUUGUUAACCACACGACAUGAUGCUUUUUCUGAAACGCAUGGGCAAGGCCGGUUCUAAGAUUUGGGCGAACUAAAAUUUGGGGCCUUAAGCGCACUAGUAAGCUUGUACGUACAACACACGAUAGGAUAAUAGAAAAAGAAAAUCACAUUCAUUUAUAUAAACUUAUGAACCAACAAAAAACAUCAUAUAUAAAUUUGCAGAUGCAAGAUUUAACCGAAUGGUUGUUUUAAGUAAGAUUUAUGAACCUCUAAGGUUGCAAAUUGCAGACAGAAACAUCUGAUCAUUGUAAUAGAUGCUUGAUCAUCCAAAAAUUAAUAGUCAAAAUGAGUUGUAAUCAUCUAAACAUUAUAUAAAAGUAUAUUCAUGUGAAGCAAGUUGAUUACAUAAGUACAAUGUUUCAUUAACUAUCAAAAAAGUACAAUAUUCAAUUCACGAAAUCCUUAAGUAUGCAAACACACAAAUAUCAAGUAUAUCCACAUAACAUCACAAAAACAAGUAUUUUUGUACUAUGUCUUAAAGGAAGUAUUUUUAUGAAAUUGUUUACUAAAGGAAAAAAGAUUGGUAGUUCAGUUUAGAAACAAGAAGUCUUUUUGUUAUAUGUGUGUGUGUUGUGUUGUGUGGCUCCACUGAAUAUUCAGUAGUAAAUACGCAUUAUGAAAUAAAUCAUGUACUGAAAAAGAUAUCACAAUUAAUUAUUUAACUUUUCCACUUGUGUAUCGAUUGAAAUGAUGCUACAAAGAUUAGUUGUAACCAGUAGGUCUACCUCUUGUUUUCUCAAAACUUAUAUAUAAUAAAACUGGGGAUGAGUGAACACUUCCGGUAACUAAACUAUAGCAUUCCCGAGAUGGCCACCGCCAUGGCUUGCCCGCAAGCUUCAUCCAUUUCGCUUCCCCAAAUCUCCUGACCAAAGUGCUCCUUAGCUCAGAAGAGCUAUGGCGCAAUGCUACCACCUUUAGUUUGGGUGAGGUCUCAUGUGCGUAUCCUGGUCCUGUUUUAAUGUUAUGACCAAAACAUAUCAUCUUCACUUCAAGUUGAUGCCAUCUCUAAAAUUAUCUAUGGGAUUCUUCAGAAUUUCAAAUCUAGUCAUGACUUGGUAUGAGCAUCACAUGGUAUUCUCUGAGAUGGCAAUUUCAGUAGAGAUACUUAUGAACAAACAUGAUAAAUUACCUUCUCUACAAACCAACCCAAAAUAUUUCUCCAACUCCACAAUGGCUAUCGCUGGUGCUCCAUUGGUAACCUCACCCAAGAUAAUUGAAUAGUAAAAUUACUUCCAAGUAGCUGAGAACUGAAACAUUGGAUAGAAAUAAUGAAUAAUAUAUAUGGAUUCAGGUACUUCAAAAUAAUAUAUGGAUUUAAUUACACAUGAUCAUUCAAGCUAGCUUUCUAGAGAUUGUUUAGAAAAUCAUUAUUCAAAACAGUACAAAGAAUUGUAUAUUUUUUUUACAAAACGCAUGAUGUGCGACAUUCAUACAAAGUUUGACCAUAUACUUUAAGCAUGUUCAAGGUAUAUUUGUCCAGAUAUGAGGUUUACAUUAAUGAUUAUAAACUAAAACCUACUAUUCUGCUUUAACACAACUCAUCAGAAGGAUGACUACAACAACUGGAUCAUGGGAAAUUAGGAGCUUGAUGAUGUACACACAUACUGCUCGUAGGGUUAUUGUUCAUGCACAUCUUUAGCGGCCGAAGAGACAAGAGGCCUCCACCACCGGCGUGGCUCCGUGAGGCCAUCACAUGUGACAUUGCUGUUGCUGGAAUGUGAUCCUAGCGACAAAGGGUUUGUGGGUAGGAGGGGGCGCUGAUGCCAUACCUACGUUGAUACUUCACAAACCAAAAAUUACAUGUUAUUACAACAUAUGAAAACAUAAUGAAGGAAAGAGGAACAUAAAAAAGCAUAAGAUUCAAAUUCACAUCAACAAUUGUAAGAAAGCGGGUGACACCGAGUGACUGAAACAUGUGCCGAUUAAUCUCAAUGCAAAAUAAAUACGGGGCAAUGUAAAUGACUGUUAGAUAUCGAGUUUGAUGAAUAUGAAAAAAAAAUUGUCAGCUGAUUUGAGAAAUAACAAAUAACAUAAUUACAAGCAUCAUUUUUGUGUUGUAAUUUAUACUAAAAUUGGCUUAGAAAUGAUUGAUUACACAAGCUAGUAUGUCAUAACUGAACACAUGAAUAAUAUAGUGCUCAACGUUGACAACAACCAUCAAAAUCACAACCCUCGCCACCAGUCCUACCAAAGGCAAGGUAUAUAUUGCAGACUUUCAUAUUGGAAAGAAUAGUAUCAAAAUGUCAUCACAACAUUGAAUUGCAAACUAUCUUGAUGGCUUAGCUAAAAAGAGAAGAAAUGUAGAAGGAGUGCUUCACCUGAAUAAGCAGUUGGAAGUUUGAAAGAUGUGAUGAACAGUGAACAAAAAAUUAUCUCCAUCGUCUAGCACACCAUCGCCUCUUGGAAUUAAAAAAUACAUGUUUUCAUGUCCAUCCCACUUUCAUUAGGUCAUAAGUUGUUGCAAUAUAGAUAUGCAUGUACCUCAAAGUAUUUCAUGUGUGCGUUGGCUACUGCGCAUCCAGCCGAAAUAGUUCAUGGCAGCCAACGAUCUGUCUUUGUGUAGGAAAUGAUAACAUUCGCUGCAACAGAGUUUCUACCUGAAGAUAUUGUUAGGACAUGUUCCAGAAAAUUUGUCUCAUGAGUAUUGUUAGAACCACUAUGUGGAUAAUAAAGGCAGAUAACAUACUUGUUCAAGUAAACAUCUGCAGUAUAUCCAAAUCAUUGUACAAAUACGAUAAAUUAUUCGUGGGCCGUCACAUAUGGGUGAAGUUUCUUCCAGCCUACAAAUCAUACCUCUGCGUUCAAGCCAAAAAUCAUAUUUGAUGAAAUACCAUCCCAUGCAUUCUAAAUUCCCAAAGGAUUAAAAAUUACAAUUAUGAAGGAAUGAUGACACAAUUCGAAGGGUAGCAGCAGUAAUGCAAUCUUUUGAUGGUACCUAUCAGCACGAACCCAAACCCACAGGGUGAUAUGAUUCUAUCAUCUUUUAUAUUUUACUCUGAAUCCUAUCCGCAGCCACACAAACCCAAAGGAUGAUACACACAAGAUUCGUAAUUGUGUAGAGAAAGGAAACAUUUGUGAACCUGAAAAUUUCCCCUUCCACGCCGCGUGAGGGUUUCGUCGUCGAAACAGGCACAGGGCCCGCCCGCGAGUGCAUGGCAGUGAGCCUCCUGGCCAAUGACGUGUCGGACCUCUUCAUCGGCAAGCCGGCCAUGAGGUCCCUCCCGCUCUCCGCGGCCGCCGGCGACCUCGCUGCCACGGUCCGCACAGGGCCCUGCGCCGCCGCCGCCGUCGGCCCGGCGCGCGGCGCCAUCAUGGGACGUGCCGGCCUCGCCGACGUCCUCUGCCUCCUCUACUCCUUGCCCGACGCGCUCGCGCGCCCUGCCGCCGCACUCGACCGGCCCAUCUCCGCGCUCCUCCCUAAGGACGGCGCCGGCGAGGUCCGCCGCGUAGAUCCCCGUUCAAGGUACUCCUCCUCCCCCUCUUGGCACGUUUUUUUUACGGUGAUUACUUUUUUGUGGAAACGGACGCGUUGGUCUUUGCGGACGCCUUUUUUCCUGCAACUAUCGCGCAAUGGGAGGGGCUGCGGAUGCGUGAUUUUCCUCUUGGUGGAGUACGGUCAGCCAAGAUAAAUUGCUAAACGUACACCAGACUGUGAUUAGAUUAAUGAUAACGGUUAGAUUUCGAUUUAUCGGACUAAUCCUGUGGUGCUGGUUGGUUGUGGGUCAAUUUAUUGGGUGCACUUAAGAAAGUUCUUGUUUGCUUGUUUAAUAGUAGUAUAGAUGUAUACCGGGUAGGCCGAGGAGUGCUGCCCCACAGGUUCGGGUGGUGUUUCAAAUAUGUCACGGGAUGUUCUGCAGGAGGUAGCCUCUUGAACAGAAAAAGUAAAAAAGAUGAAAAAAUAUGAGAGCAAAAGAUUAUGACAUUGGGACCCAUAAUAUAGAAGAGAUAAACUUUUCACGAUGGGACUGAAAAAGUUAUUUUCCCGUGUCUAGCUGGAUGCAUCGGGGGUGGCACCUACCGCCGCCCCUAGUGCUCAUGCCCUAAGAACAACUUCAACUCGACAACCCAUUUCGUUUGUAGCUGUCCCAGGGACGGAGCCAACAUUCAUGCAUAGAGGAGGCAAGUUUGUUCAUGAAGGGGGCAAAGUUCAUAUGAAAUGAAUUUUUUUGCUUACAACAAUCACAAUCAUAUUAGAAGACUCAAUUUGUUAGGGGGGGGGGGCUCGCCCCCCUAAAUUCGCACCUGAGCUGUCCGUUUGAGUUCGCGUGAACAGAAGUGAUUGUCCAACACACGGAAUCACUACCAAAACGCAUCCGUGCCGAUCCAUUUCCGGCUCAAAUUUGGGAUUUAAAUACGUCGGCCCGGACGCGAAGCAGACGCGCGCGCCCUCUCGGUGUCCGCCAGUUCACACUCGUCGAUCGUCCAACUACCCGCGGUCAACUUAAUUAAUGAAGGCCGUCCUUCACGGGCCCAUGCGUCAGCGACCGCAGUCGGCCUUUUUUAAUCCGAGCGUGCGGUGGGGUUCGGCCUCAUCUGCUUCCAUACACGUGUCCCCAUCUCGCCACCUUUCUGCUCCCUCGUCGGGGACCAAACCCUAGCCAACACCCAUGGCAAGCUUCACCGCCCAAAACAAGGAUAAGUCCCCCGCCGUCCAUCCCCGUGCGCUCAACCCGCGGGCGUAUUCCCGCCAGCCUCGCCAGCCGAUCAGCGUCCCGGUGCACCAAGCAGGGCUCUAGAUGCACUUAUAGAGGGGGACUAGGAUUGCACCUCCUCCCCCCUUGGUUGAGCCCUAGGGCUUGAAGGGAUGUUCUUCAUGACCCUCCACCUAUAUAUAGAGAGGGGAGGGGCCGCCCCAAGAGGACACACGAAGCCCUUGGCGCCCCUCUCUCUCCCUAGAUCGUUUUCUCCUCCGUUUGCGGUUUCGGUAGCGCUAUGCAUAGCCCUGCCAAGAUAGCACCACCACAACCGCCACCAUGCUGUCAUGUUGCGAGAGAACUCAUCUACUGCUCCGCCCUCGCUCACUGGAUCGAGGAGGCGGAGACUGUUGGAAAUAUGCCCUAGAGGCAACAAUAAAAUGGUUAUUAUCAUAUUUCCUUGUUCAUGAUAAUCGUGUAUUGUUCAUGCUAUAAUUGUAUUAACAGGAAACAGUAAUACAUGUGUGAAUAAAUAGAUCACAACGUGUCCAUAGCAAGCCUCUAGUUGGCUAGCUCGUUAAUCAAUAGAUGAUCAUGGUNNNNNNNNNNUGGUAUCAGAGCCAGGUUUUCUAUGCAUAGAUUCUAUGCACGAGUAGAACACAAAAGGUUGUGGGCGAUGAUUUGUCAAUUGCUUGCCGCUACUAGUCUUAUUCUUUUCCGGCAGUAUUUGGGAUGAAGCGGCCUGGACCGACUUUACACGUACGCUUACGUGAGACUGGUUCCACCGACACACAUGCACACCGUGCAUAAAGGUGGCUAGCGUGUGUCUGUCUCUCCUACUCUAGUCGGAUUGGAUUUGAUGAAAAAGGUCCUUAUGAAGGGUAAAUAGCUUUGGCAUAUCAUUGUUGUGGCUGUCACGUAGGUAAGAAGGCGUUCUUGCUAGAAACCCAAAUCAGCCACGUAAAAUUUGCAACAACAAUUAGAGGACGUCUAACUUGUUUUUGCAGGGUUUGACAUGUGGUGUGAUAUGGCCAAAGUUGUGAUGUUGCAUGUAUGAUGUAUGAGAUGAUCAUGUUAUUGUAAUAGGUUUGACGACUUGCAUGUCGAUGAGUAAGACAACCGGCAGGAGCCAUAGGAGUUGUCUUAAUUUAUUGUAUGAGAUGCAACGCCAUGUGCUUACUACUUUUACUUCAUUGCUAACGGCUAGCUAUAGUAGUGGUGAUAGUAGUAGUUGGCGUGACGACUUCACGGAGACACGAUGAUGGAGAUCAUGAUGAUGUAGAUCAUGAUGAUGGAGAUCAUGGUGUCACGCCGGUGACAAUGAUGAUCAUGCGAUGCCUGAAGAUGGAGAUCGAAAGAGCAAAGGUGAUAAUGGCCAUAUCAUGUCACUAUAUGAUUGCAUUAUGAUGUUUAUCAUGUUUUCAUCUUAUUGCUUAGAAUGACGGUAGCAUAAUAAGAUGAGCCCUCUUAAAAUUUCGAGAACGUAUUCCCCUAAGUGUGCACCGUUGCGAAGGAUCGUUGUCUCGAAGCACCACGUGAUGAUCGGGUGUGAUAGAUUCUAACGUUCGCAUACAACGGGUGUAAGCCAGAUUUACACACGCGAAACACCUAGGUUGACUCGACGAGCUUAGCAUGUACAGACAUGACCUCGAAUAGAAGAGACCGAAAGGUCGAACAUGAGUCGUAUGGUUGAAUACGAUCAGCAUGAAGUUGCUCACCAUGGUGACUAGUCCGUCUCACGUGAUGAUCGGACACGGGUUAGUCAACAUGGAUCAUGUAUCACUUAGAUGACUAGAGGGAUGUAGAUUUAAGUGGGAGUUCAUACUUAAUUUGAUUAAAUGAACUUAAUUUUCAUGAACUUAGUCUAAAAGUUGUCUUUAUAAAUAUUGUAGAUGGCCAACGUCAACCUCAAUUUCAACGCAUUCCUAGAGAAAAACAAGCUGAAAGAUGAUGGUAGCAACUAUGCGGACUGGGUUCGCAACUUGAAGCUCAUCCUUGAAGCAGCUAAAAAGGCUUAUCUCCUUGAUGCACCGCUAGGUGACCCUCCCGCUCCCACAGCAGCCCAGUACAUUCUGAACGCCUGGCAAACACGGAGUGAUGACUACUCUCUGGUUAGGUGUGGCAUGCUAUAUAGUUUAGAAACGGGGCUCUAAAGGCGUUUUGAGCAACACGGUGCAUAUGCGAUGUUCCAAUAGCUGAAGCUAUUUUUUCAAGCUCAUGCCCGUGUCGAGAGAUAUGAAGUCUCCGACAAGUUCUUUAGCUGUAAGAUGGAGGAGAAUAAUUCUGUCAGUGAGCACAUACUCAAAAUGUCUGGGUUACACGGUCGUCUGACUUCACUUGGAGUCGAACUUCCGGAUGAUGCUAUAAUUGACAGAAUCCUCCAGUCUCUCCCACCAAGCUACAAAGGUUUUAUGCUGAACUACAACAUGCAAGGGAUGGAGAAGACCAUUCCCGAGUUGUACUCGAUGCUCAAGUUUGCAGAAGUAGAAAUCAAGAAAGAGCAUCAAGUGUUGAUGGUCAACAAGACCACUAGUUUCAAGAAGGGCAAGAGUAAGAAGAACUUCAAGGAAGACGGCAAAGCCGUUGCCGCGCCCGGUAAGCCAGAUGCCGGAAAGAAGAAAAAGAAUGGACCCAAGCCUGAGACUGAGUGCUUCUAUUGCAAGGGAAAGGGUCACUGGAAGCGGAACUGCCCCAAAUACUUAGCGGACAAGAAGGCCGGCAACGUUAAAGGUAUAUGUGAUAUACAUGUUAUUGAUGUGUACCUUACCAGCGCUCGUAGUAGCUCCUGGGUAUUUGAUACCGGUGCUGUUGCUCACAUUUGCAACUCAAAACAGGAACUGCGGAAUAAGCGGAGAUAGGCCAAGGAUGAGGUGACGAUGCGCGUCGGGAAUGGCUCCAAGGUCGAUGUGAUCGCCGUCGGCACGCUACCUCUAUGUCUACCGUCAGGAUUAGUUUUAAACCUUAAUAAUUGUUAUUUAGUACCAACUUUGAGCAUGAAUAUUGUAUCAGGGUCUUGUUUAAUGCGAGGCGGCUACUCAUUCAAGUCAGAGAAUAAUGGUUGUUCUAUUUAUAUGAGUGAUAUGUUUUAUGGUCAUGCUCCGCUGGUGAAUGGUUUAUUCUUGAUGAAUCUCGAUCGUGAUGUUACGCAUAUUCAUAGUGUGAGUACUAAAAUAUGUAAAGUUGAUAAUGAUAGUCCCACAUACUUGUGGCACUGCCGCCUUCGUCAAAUCGGCGUAAAGCGCAUGAAGAAGCUCCAUACUGAUGGACUAUUAGAGUCUCUUGACUUUGAAUCAUUUGACACAUGCGAACCGUGCCUCAUAGGCAAGAUGACUAAGACUCCAUUCUCGGGAAUAAUGGAGAGAGCAACCGACUUAUUGGAAAUAAUACAUACUGAUGUGUGUGGUCCAAUGAACGUUGAAGCUCGCGGUGGCUAUCGUUAUGUUCUCACUCUCACCGAUGAUUUGAGUAGGUAUGAGUAUAUCUACUUAAUGAAGCACAAAUCUGAGACAUUUGAAAAGUUCAAGGAAUUUCAGAAUGAGGUCGUGAAUCAACGUGACAGAAAAAUUAAGUGUCUACGAUCUGAUCGUGGAGAAUAAUAUUUGAGUCACGAGUUUGGCACACACCUAAGGAAGUGUGGAAUCGUUUCACAACUGACGCCGCCUGGCACACCGCAACACAACGGAGUGUCUGAACAUCGUAAUCACACUUUAUUAGAUAUGGUACGAUCUAUGAUGUCUCUUACCAACUUACCGCUAUCAUUUUGGGGAUAUGCAUUAGAAACUGCAGCGUUCACUUUAAAUAGGGCACCAUCUAAAUCCGUUGAGACGACACCGUAUAAACUAUGGUUUGGCAGGAAACGUAAGUUGUCGUUUCUUAAAGUUUGGGGCUGCGAUGCUUAUGUGAAGAAACUUCAACCAGAAAAGCUCGAACCCAAAGCGGAGAAAUGCGUAUUCAUAGGAUACCCUAAGGAAACUAUUGGGUAUACCUUAUAUCUUAGAUCCGAAGGUAAAACCUUUGUUGCCAAGAACGGAUCCUUUCUAGAGAAAGAGUUUCUCUCGAAAGAAGUAAGUGGGAGGAAGGUAGAACUUGAUGAGGUAAUUACACCCCCUCUCGAACAGGAUAGUAGCGCAACGCGGGAAGUUGUUCCUGUGGCGCCUACACCAACUGAAGAGGAAGUUAAUGAUAAUGAUCAUGAAGCUUCGGAUCAAGUUACUAUUGAACCUCGAAGGUCCACAAGGGUACGCUCCGCACCAGAGUGGUACGGCAACCCUGUAAUGGAAAUUAUGUUGUUAGACAACGAUGAACCUUCGAACUAUGAAGAAGCGAUGGCGGGCCCGGGUUCCAACGAAUGGCUUGAAGCUAUGAAAUCUGAGAUAGGAUCCAUGUAUGAGAAUAAAGUAUGGACUUUGGUGGACUUGACCGAUGACCGGCGAGCCAUAGAAAAUAAAUGGAUCUUCAAGAAGAAGACUGAUGCAAACGGUAAUGUGACCGUUUAUAAAGCUCAACUUGUCGCAAAGGGUUUUCGACAAAUUCAAGGAAUUGACUACGAAGAGACUUUCUCUCCCGUAGCGAAGCUGAAAUCAGUCUGAAUCAUGUUAGCAAUUGCUGCGUUUUAUGAUUAUGAAAUUUGGCAAAUGGACGUCAAAACAGCGUUCCUUAACGGGAACCUUAAGGAAGAGUUGUAUUUGAUGCAACCAGAAGGUUUUGUCGACCCUAAGGGUGCUAACAAAGCGUGCAAGCUCCAGCGCUCCAUCUAUGGGCUGGUGCAAGCAUCUCGGAGUUGGAACAUUCGCUUUAAUGAGGUGAUUAAAGCGUUUGGGUUCAUACAGGUUUACGGAGAAGCCUGUCUCUACAAGAAAGUGAGUGGGAGCUCUGUAGCUUUCCUCAUACUGUACGUGGAUGACAUAUUAUUGAUGGGGAAUAGUAUAGAGAUGUUGGAGAGCAUAAAGGCCUAUUUGAACAAGAGUUUUUCAAUGAAGGACCUUGGAGAAGCUGCAUACAUAUUAGGCAUCAAGAUCUAUAAGAUAGAUCGAGACGCCUCAUAGGUCUUUCGUAAAGUACAUACCUUGACAAGAUAUUGAAGAAGUUCAAUAUGGAAAACUCAAAGAAAGGGUUCUUGCCAGUUUUGCAAGGUAUGAGAUUGAGUAAGACUCAGUCGUCGACCACGACAGCAGAUAGAGAGAAGAUGAGUUCUGUCCCCUACGCUUCAGCCGUAGGCUCUCUUAUGUAUGCCAUGCUGUGUACCAGACCUUAUAUAAACCUUGCCAUAAGUUUGGUAGGGAGGUACCAAAGUGAUCCCGGUAUGGAACACUGGACAACGGUCAAGAAUAUCCUUAAGUAUCUGAAAAGGACUAAGGAAAUGUUUCUCGUUUAUGGAGGUGACGAAGAGCUCGUCGUAAAGGGUUACGUCGAUGCUAGGUUCGACACAGAUCCGGAUGACUCUAAGUCACAAACUGGAUACGUAUAUGUUUUGAAUGGUGGGGUAAUGAGCUGGUGCAGCAGCAAGCAAGAAGUCAUGGCAGCAUCUACAUGCGAAGCGGAGUACAUAGCUGCUUCAGAAGCAGCUCAUGAAGGAAUUUGGAUGAAGGAGCUCAUCACCGACCUUGGAGUGAUUCCAAGCACGUCGGGUCCAAUGACACUCUUCUGUGAUAACACUCGGGCCAUUUCCAUAGCCAAGGAGCCCAGGUUUCACCGAAAGACGAAGAGCAUCAAACGCCGCUACAACUCCAUCCAGGACCAUGUCCAGAGUGGAGUAAUAGAGAUUUGUAAAGUACACAUGGAUCUGAAUGUUGCAGACCCGUUGACUAAACUUCUUCCACGAGCAAAACAUGAUCAACACCAUGAUGCUAUGGGUGUUCGAUACAUCACAAUGUAACUAGAUUAUUGACUCUAGUGCAAGUGGGAUACUGUUGGAUAUAUGCCCUAGAGGCAAUAAUAAAAUGGUUAUUAUCAUAUUUCCUUGUUCAUGAUAAUCGUCUAUUGUUCAUGCUAUAAUUGUAUUAACAGGAAACAGUAAUAAAUGUGUGAAUAAAUAGAUCACAAUGUGUCCCUAGCAAGCCUCUAGUUGGCUAGCUCGUUAGUCAAUAGAUGAUCAUGGUUUCCUGGUCAUGGGCAUUAGAUGUCAUUGAUAACGGGAUCACAUCAUUGGGAGAAUGAUGUGAUGGACAAGACCCAAUCCUAAGCAUAGCACUAGAUCGUAUUGUUCGUAUACUAAAGCUUUUCUAAUGUGAAGUGUCUUUUCCUUCGACCGUGAUAUUGUGCAACUCCCUGAUACCGUAGGAGUGCUUUGGGUGUAUCAAACGUCACAACGUANNNNNNNNNNGCAUUGAUAACGGGAUCACAUCAUCGGGAGAAUGAUGUGAUGGACAAGACCCAAUCCUAAGCAUAGCACUAGAUCGUAUUGUUUGUAUGCUAAAGCUUUUCUAAUGUGAAGUGUCUUUUCCUUCGACCGUGAGAUUGUGCAACUCCCGGAUACCGUNNNNNNNNNNACACUGAUAACGGGAUCACAUCAUUGGGAGAAUGAUGUGAUGGACAAGACUCAAUCCUAAGCAUAGCACUAGAUCGUAUUGUUCAUAUGCUAAAGCUUUUCUAAUGUCAAGUGUCUUUUCCUUCGACCGUGAGAUUGUGCAACUCCCGGAUACCGUAGGAGUGCUUUGGGUGUAUCAAACGUCACAACGUAACUGGGUGACUAUAAAGGUGCACUACGGGUAUCUCUGAAAGUGUCUGUUGGGUUGGUACGAAUCGAGAUCGGGAUUUGUCACUCCGUGUGACGGAGAGGUAUCUCUGGGCCCACUCGGUAGAACAUCAUNNNNNNNNNNCAGGGAGGUAUCUCUGGACCCACUCGGUAGAACAUCAUCAUGAGCUCAAUGUGACUAAGGAGUUAGUCACACGAUGACGUGUUAUAGAACGAGUAAAGAGACUUACCGGUAACGAGAUUGAACAAGGUAUAGGUAUACCNNNNNNNNNNCCUCCGAAAGUGUCUGUUGGGUUGGUACAAAUCGAGAUCGGGAUUUGUCACUCCGUGUGAAGGAGAGGUAUCUCUGGGCCCACUCGAUAGAACGUCAUCAUGAGCUCAAUGUGACUAAGGAGUUAGUCACACGAUGACGUGCUAUGGAACAAGUAAAGAGACUUACCGGUAACGAGAUUGAACAAGGUAUAGGUAUACCGACGAUCGAAUCUCGGGCAAGUUCUAUACCGACAGACAAAGGGAAUUGUAUACGGGAUUGAUUGAAUCCUUGACAUCGUGGUUCAUCUGAUGAGAUCAUCGUGGCGCAAGUGGGAGCCACCAUGGGUAUCCAGACCCCGCUGAUGGUUAUUGGCCGGAGAGGUGUCUCGAUCAUGUCUGCCUGUCUCCCGAGCCCGUAGGGUCUACAUACUUAAGGUUCGAUGACGCUAGGGUUAUAGGGAAUUGUUAUACGAGGUUAUCGGAAGUUGUUCGGUGUCCCGGAUGAGAUCCCGGACGUCACGAGGAGCUCCAGAAUGGUACGGAGGUAAAGAUUGAUAUAUAGGACAGAUGGUUUCGGACACCGGAAGUAUUUCGGGCGUCGUCGAUAACGUACCGGGACCACCGGGAGUGGCCCCCGGGGUCCACCGGAAGGGGGCAACGACCCCGGGAGGCUAGAUGGGCCAAGUGAGGGAGGGAACAAGCCCCUAGGUGUGCUGGUGCAUCCCCACACUCAGCCCAUGGCGCAAGAAGAGGGGAGAAGGGGGGGNNNNNNNNNNCGCCACCCCUCCUUCUCCUCCUGGCCGCCGCACCUCCCCCCAUCUAGGGCUUCUGCCCCUCCCAGAAGAGGGAAACCCUCAAGGGGGCGCAACCCCUCCCCCCCCCUACAUAUAGUGGGCACUUUGGGCUGUUGGAGAAACCAAUCUUCCUCUCCCUCGGCGCAGCCUUGCUCUUCUUUCUCCUCCUCUCUGCCGGUGCUUGGCGAAGCCCUGCCGGGAGACCUCGUAUCUCCAUCGACACCACGCCGUCGUAUUGCUGGAGAUCUUCCCCAACCUCUCCCUCCUCCUUGCUGGAUCAAGGUGCGGGAGACGUCACCGGGCUGCACGUGUGUUGAACGCGGAGGUGCCGUAGUUCGGCACUAGAUCAGAAUCACACUGCAAUCUGAAUCGCUGCGAGUACGUCUCCAUCAACCGCGUUCUAGUAACGCUUCCGCUUAGCGAUCUUCAAAGGUAUGAAGAUGCACUCACCCCUCUCUCGUUGCUGGUCUCUCCAUAGGAAGAUCUGAAUAUGGCGUAGGAAAAUUUUGAAUUUAUGCUACGUUACCCAACAGAGACGUCAUUGAUCUGUACGUGUGCUGAACGCGGAGGUCCAUCCGUUCAGCACUAGAUCGGGUUGGAUCAUGAUGGGAUCAUGGGACAGAUCGUGAUAAGAUCGCGGGACGGAUCAUGAUUGGAUCGCGAAGACGUUCGACUACAUCAACCGCGUUAUAUACGCUUCCACUUAGCGAUCUACAAGGGUAUGUGGAUAUAAUCUCUGCUCUCGUAGAUGGUCAUCACCAUGGAUAGAUCUUGUGUGCGCAUGUGAAAUUUUUUGUAUCCCAUGCGACGUUCCCCAACAGAACUUUUGCCGCGAGCCGAUCUGGUUCGAGGUCGACAACUUCUCCAGCUCCUACCAGGUCAUCUUGGGCUGACCCUCCCUCGCCAAGCUCAUGGUGGUCCCGCACUAUGCCGACGUGAAGAUGAAGCUGUCGGGUCCGCACAGAAUCAUCAUCAUUACCGGCAACUACAAGAAAUCGUCCGAAUGCGCUCUGGCCGGCUCCAAGCUGGCCGAGUGCCUCGUCAUCGCUGAGGAACAGUGACAGAUCGACCGACGUGUGGCUCUCGCCCACGAGGCGGUGCCCAUGACCGAGCCCAAGCUGAAGCAGCCGGCUGUGAAGGCCCGGUUCCAGCCGGCAACCGGCAAGGACACCAAGAGGGUCCCCGUGGACCCGACAGACCCCACCGGCAAGUACGUCAUGGUCUGGCCGACCUCAGUGACAAAUAGGAAAGCGAGUGAUAACCCACAAGUAUAGGUUAUCACAACUGUUUUUUAGGGUGGAUUAUUCAACCCAAAUUUAUUGAUUCGACUCAAGGGGAGCCAAAGAAUAUUCUCGAGUAUAGGAGCUGAGUUGAAAAUUCAACCACACCUGAAAGACUUAAUAUCCGCAACAAAGUAUUUAGUAGAAAAGUAGUAUGGAAGUAACGGUAACGGUGGCAAACGUCAAAGUAGCAGUUUUGUAGUGAUUAUAACAAUAGCAACGGAAAAUUAACUUAACAAAGAUCAAUAUGUGGAAAGCUCGUAGGCAAUGGAUCAGUGAUGGAUAAUUAUGUCGGAUGACAUUCAUCAUGCAAUAGUCAUAACAUAUGCUGACACAGAACUAGCUCCAAUUCAUCAAUGUAAUGUAGGCAUGUAUUCCGUAUAUAGUCAUACGUGCUUAUGGAAAAAAACUUGCAUAACAUAUUUUGUCCUACCCUCCCGUGCCAGUGGGGUCCUAAUGGAAACUAAGGGAUAUUAAGGCCUCCUUUUAAUAGAGAACAGGACCAAAGCAUUACCACUUAGUGAAUACAUGAACUCCUCAAACUACGGUAAUCACCGGAAAGAAUCCGAGUUAUUGUGACCCUGGGGGAUGCGGAUCAUAACUCGUAAUAGGUGUCUACAACUUGCAAGAUAGUAUCAAGAACACAUAUAUAUUCAUGAAAAUAUAAUAGGUCCAGAUCGUAAAUCUUGGCACUCGGGCCCUAGUGACAAGCAUUAAGCAUAGCAAAGUCAUAGCAACAUCAAUCUCAGAACAUAGUGGAUACUAGGGAUCAAACCCUAACAAAACUGACUCGAUUACAUGAUGGAUCUCAUCCAACCCAUCACCGUCCAGCAAGCCUACGAUGGAAUUACUCAUGAACGACCAAGAGCAUCAUGAAAUUGGUGAUGAAGGACGGAUGAUGAUGACGACGGCGUUGAUUUCCCCUCUCCGGAUCCCAAAUCAGACUCCAGAUCUGCCCUCCCGAGGAAAAACACGAGGUGGCGGCGGCUCCAUACCGUAAAAAAUGAUGAAAUCUUCUCUCUGAUUUUUUUCUCCUCGAAUAGGAGUAUAUAGAAGUGGAAACAAGGUUGGAGGAGCCACAGGGGCCCCACAUGCCAGGGGGCGCCCUAGGGGGGCGGCGCCCUGCAUGCUUGUCGCCGGGUGGUGGCCCCUCUCCGGUUGGUUCUUUCUCCAAUAUUUUUUAUUAGUUCCAAAAAUAUUCUCCAUAAAUUUUCAGGUCAAUCCGAGAACUUUUAUUUCUACACAAAAAUAACACCAAGGUAACUCUGCUGAAAACAGCGUUAGUCCGGGUUAGUUCCAUUCAAAUCAUCCAAAUUAGAGUCCAAAACAAGGCCAAAAGAGUUUGGAAAAGUAGAUAAGUUGGAGACGUAUCAACUCCCCCAAGUUUAAACCUUUUCUUGUCCUCAAUAAAUUCAGUUGAUAAACUGAAAGUGAUAAAUAAAAACUUUUACAAACUCUGUUUGAUCUUGCUGUUGUAAAUAUGUCUAACUGAUGUUUGGAUCUUCACCUACGAUUAUAGACUAACCGCAUUCACAAUAAUAUUUUAGGUAUCACAUUUACUUGUAUCAACGGCGUAAUCAACUAGCGAGAAAUAAUAAUAAGUCUCAGAUGACAACAAUUUUAUCAAAACAAUCAUAAUACAAUAUGAUAAACUGGUAUCUCGCUAGCCCUUUUUGAGAUCGCAAAACAUAAAUGCAGAGCACCUCCGAAGAACAAGGACUGACAGGACAUUGUAAUUCAUGGUAAAAGAGAUUUAGUCAUACUCAUACUCAAUAUCAAUUAAUACCAAAGCAUACAAAUGAUGGGGGUGCUCUCUAACUAGUGCCUUUUUAUAAGAAGAGGAUGACUCAACAGUAAAGUAAAAUAGAUAGGCCCUUCACACAGGGAAGCAUUAAUUUACAGAGGUGCCAGAGCUCGAGCUUUUAAAACAGGGGUGAAUCAAAAUUUUGGGCGGUAUGCUUUCAUUGUCAACAUAACAACUAAGAGAUCUCAAUAUCUUCCAUGCUAGAUACAUUAUAGGCGGUUCCCAAAGAGAAUAGUAAAGUUUUUACUCCCCCUCCACUGAUACGUCUCCAACGUAUCUAUACUUUUUGAUGGUUUCAUGCUAUUAUCUUGUCAGACUUUGGAUGUUUUGCAUGCCUUUUAUAUAUUUUUUUGGGACUAACUUAUUAAAUCAGUACCAAGUGCCAACUUGUGUUUUUCCAUGUUUUUGACCCCUUUCAGAGGAGAUUUUGAAACGGAGUCCAAACAGAAUAAAAUCCCCGAAAAGAAUUUUCCCAUAACGGAAGAAGAUCAAGAGACUUGAGAGCCAAGGCAGGGGGGCCCAGGGGCCCCACAAGCCCUCACCCCGCGGCCAGGGGGAGAGGCUGCGGCCCACAGGCUUGUGGCCCCCUGGACGCCCUUUGCCCUAGGGGUUGCGCCUAUAUAUUCCCUAAAAAUCCCAAAAAAUUAGGAGAUCAUCGAAAGUACUUUUCCGCCGCCGCAAGAUUUUGUCUCCGCAAUAUCCCAUCUGGGGCACGUUCUGGUGCCUUGCCAGAGGGGGAUUCGGAUACGGAGGGCUUCUUCAUCAACACCAUGACCUCUCCGAUGAUGCGUGAGUAGUUCACCAUAGACCUACGGGUCCAUAGCUAGUAACUAGAUGGCUUCUUCUCUCUCUUGGAUCCGCAAUACAAAGUUCUCCAUGAUCUUCAUGGAGAUCUAUCUGAUGUAAUCUUCUUUUGCGGCGUGUUUGUCGAGAUCCGAUGAAUUGUGGAUUUAUGAUCAGAUUAUCUAUGAAUCUUAUUUGAGUUUCUUCUGAUCUCUCUUAUGCAUGAUUUCAUAUCCUUGUAAUUCUCUUCGAGUUGUGGGUUUUGCCUGGCCAACUAGAUCUAUGAUUCUUGGAAUGGGAGAAGUGCUAGGUUGAGAGAAGCCUCUAGUGCACACUAUGGCCCCCGGGUCUACUCCACACCAUAUUUUCAGCCUUACACUUUUUUACUUCGUUGCACUUUCCGCCUUCAGAUCUCACUUUGCAAACAAUCUUGAAGGGAUUGACAACCCNNNNNNNNNNUUGGGUGCAAGCUUGUUUGUGUUUGCGCGGGUACUCUGGACUUGACGAGACCCUCCUUCUGGAUCGAUACCUUGGUUCUCAAACUAAGGGAAAUACUUACUGCUCCUGUGCUGCAUCACCCUUUCCUCUUCAAGGGAAAAACCAACGCAAGCCCAGUCUCCGUCAACGUGUCAAUUUCUGGCGCUGUUGUUUGUUGCCGUAGUAGAAGAAUUUAUGGCACCGUUGCCAGGGAGGAAGAUCAAGUCAAGAAGUCAUCCAAGUAGGUGUCGCAAACUCAUCUCUUGCAUUUACUUUGUUUGCUAGUUGCCUCUCGUUUUCCUCCCCCCCACUUCACAAUUUGCCUUUUUCGUUCGCCUUUCCGUUCACCCUUUAUCCUUGCUUGCUCUUUGUUUUCUUGUGUGGUUGCUUGCUUGCCUAAGUCACCAUGAAUGAAAACACCAAACUUUGUGACUUCUCAAAUACUAAUAAUAAUGAUUUUAUUAGUACUCCGAUUUCUCCCGCCACUAGUGCGGAGUCUUACGAAAUCAAUGCCGCUUUGCUGAAUCUUGUUAUGAAAGAGCAAUUCUCCGGCCUUCCUAGUGAAGAUGCCGCAUCCCAUCUCAAUACCUUCAUUGAGCUUUGCGAUAUGCAAAAGAAGAGAGAUGUGGAUAAUGACGUGAUUAAAUUGAAGCUUUUUCCUUUCUCGUUGCGAGAUCGCGCAAAAACUUGGUUUUCUUCUUUGCCCAAAAAUAGUAUUGAUUCUUGGGAUAAGUGCAAAGAUGCUUAUAUGUCCAAGUAUUUUCCGCCGGCUAAGAUUAUCUCUCUCCGUAAUGAUAUCAUGAAUUUGGUUGCUAGUAGAAGUGCUCCUUUGGAUCCUAAUGAUAUGCCCUUGUCUUCUUUGAUUGAGAGUAGCAACGCUAGCUUGGACGUUAAUUUUGUUGGUAGGAAUAACUUUGGCAACAACAAUGCUUUUAGAGGAAACUAUGUUCCAAGGCCUUUUCCUAGUAACUCCUCUAAUAAUUUUGGCAACUCCUACAACAAUACUCAUGGAAAUUACAAUAGAUUACCCUCUGAUCUAGAGAGUAAUAUCAAAGAGUUCAUCAACUCUCAAAAGAUUUCCAAUGCGUCCAUAGAGGAAAAGCUACUCAAAAUUGACGAUUUGGCUAAGAGCGUUGAUAGAAUGUCUAGUGAUGUUGAUGCUUUGAAAGUUAGAUGUGCUCCUCCCAAAAUAAACAUGGAUGAAACUUUGAAAGCUAUGCGUGUUUCCAUGAUUGAGAGCCAAGAAAGAAUUGCCCAAAUUCGUGCUAGACAUGAAUGGCUUAAAAAGGCGUGUUCUCGUGAUGAGAAUCACGAAGAUCUUAAAGUGCUUGGUGUGACUCCCAUUGAAUCUUUGUUUUCUUGUGUCAAACCUAAUGAUUAUGGGGCUGGAUAUGAAUCAACUUUGGUUGAAAAGUGCCCCAAUGAUUCGGAGUCCAUCUAUCUUGAUGCUAAAAGCAUUGAAAGUGGAGUAGAAGAUGUUAAAACUUUGAGUAGUAAUGAAAUUACUACCAUGGAUUUCAAGGAAUUAAAUUAGGAUAGUUUCUCCUUGAUUGAAUGCAUUUCUUUGAUGCAAUCUAUGUUAAACUCUCCACACGCUUAUAGCCAAAACAAGGCCUUUACCGAUCAUAUCGUCGAAGCUAUGAUAAAAUCUCUUGAAGAGAAACUUGUAUUGGAAGUCUCUAUCCCUAGAAAGCUUCAUGAUGAGUGGGAACCUAGCAUAAAAAUCAAAAUCAAAAACUAUGAGUGCAAUGCUUUGUGUGAUUUGGGUGCUAGUGUUUCUGCGAUUCCAAAGUCUUUAUGUGAUGUUCUGGGUUUUAAUGAGAUUGAAGAGUGUUCUCUUAAUUUGCAUUUUGCUGAUUCUACUGUCAAGAAACCCAUGGGAAGGAUCAACGAUGUUCUUAUUAUUGCAAAUAGGAACUAUGUACCCAUGGAUUUCAUUAUGCUUGACAUUGAUUGCAAUCCUACAUGCCCUAUUAUUCUUGGUAGACCUUUCCUAAGGACUAUCAGUGCUAUCAUUGAUAUGAAGGAAGGGAACAUUAGAUUUCAAUUUCCUUUAAGGAAGGGCAUGUAACACUUUCCUAGAAAGAAAAUAAGAUUGCCUUAUGAAUCCAUGAUGANNNNNNNNNNCACUUAUGGUUUGAGCACCAAAGACGACGAUACGUGAUUCUAUCGCUUUUAUGCCUAGCUAAGGGCGUUAAACAAUAGCGCUUGUUGGGAGGCAACCCAAUGAAUUUAUAUUUUUCUUUCUAUUUUGUUGUGUCCACACCAUCGCAAUUCUGUUGUGAUUGUGUUUUUUGUGUUUCUUUUUGUGUUUGAGCCAAGCAAAACCUUUAUGACUAGUCUUGGUAAUGGUUGUUUGAUCCUGCUGGAAAAAGACAAAAACUUUUCGCUCACGAGAUGAUUUUUAAUUUUUAUUCAAAAAGAGCUUUUGAGUUGAUUCUUUUUGCUGCUUGUUGAUAUGCCUUUUGCCCAGGCCCUCCUAAUUGUUCAGAUUCUUUGAGGUACCAUAAGUAUACGAAGUAUAUAGAUUGCUAUAGACUGGUCUAUUUUUGACAGAUUCUGUUUUUGUUGAGUUGGUUGCUUGUUUUUUGAAACUAUGGUUAGUAUAGGGGGGGUACUAGCCAUGGAAAAAUGAGAAUACAUUAGCCCAACACCAAUAUAGAUAGAAUUCAAGUUUGCUACAGUACCAAAAGAAGUGGUAGUUUGUUUUCUUGUGCUAAUGUUAUCACGAGUUUCUGUUUAAGUUUUGUGUUGUGAAGUUUUCAAGUUUUGGGUGAUGUUCUCAUGGACAAAGAGAUAAGGAGUGGAAAUAGAUCAAGCUUGGGGAUGCCCAAGGCAUACCAAGCCAAAUUCAAGGACACCAAAAAGCCUAAGCUUGGGGAUGCCCCNNNNNNNNNNUAAUCCAUCGGUAACAUUACUUGGGGCUAUAUUUUUAUUCACCACAUGAUAUGUGUUUUGCUUGGAUCGUCUUGUAUCUUAGGAGUCUUUUUUUGUGUGUCACAAUCAUCCUUGCUGCACACCUUUUUGAGAGAGAGAGACUUGCACUCAUCGUGAUUUAGCUAGAAUCCUCAUAGUGCUUCACUUAUAUCUUUUGAGCUAGAUACUUUUGCUCAUAGUGCUUCACUUAUAUCUUUUGAGCUAGAUACUUUUGCUCUUUGUGCUUCACUUAUAUCUUUUAGAGCACGGCGGUGCGUGAUUUGGUAGUUGGCUUAUGCUAUGAAAGUAGUCCCAAAUGUGAUAGGUACCCAAAGAGGAUGCAAAAACCUCCAUCUUCAUGUGCAUUGAGUAGAAAGAGAAGUUUUGAUUCCUCUCAAUUAGUUUUGAGACGUGGAUUUGGUAAUAUUAAGAGCUAUGUUAGUAGGGUGUUGUGAAUCUAGAAAUACUUGUCUUGAAGUUAGUGAUUCCCGUAGCAUGCAUGUAUGGUGAACCGCUAUGUUAGGAAGUCGGAGCAUAAUUGAUCUAUUGAUUGUCAUCCUUUGUGUUGAGGUCGGGAUCGCGCGAUGGUUAACACCUACCAACCCUUCCCCUAGGAGUAUGCGUUUAGCACUUUAUUUCGAUUACUAAUAAAAACUUUCGCAACAAGUGAAAGUGCAUGCUAUGCCCCUAAUCGACUUUUGGUGUUAAUGACAACACAUACAUAGGAAACUAAUCCUAUUUGUUGAGUGUAUCUCACGAUGACAAGUACUUUAGUAAAUUGAGAAUUAUGUGCCAAAGGUGGUCUCAGAAGAUCGAUAUUUAUAUGUCAAGAAGGCUCGGGAUUGAGAAAAGAUGAUGUAGACUAUCCUUUCGAGUUUACUAUUCUUGAGUAUAGGGAUCCCGCACUAUUAAGAGGGGAUCACAGGUUUUGUGAUGAACUUGCUCAUACCACAUCUUCACUAUUCUGCUCAAUACCACAUAUUCUCUACUCUGCUCCUAUCUCAAAACAGGUCUAAUGGCUCGGACAUCCGGCUCCCUCCGGACGUCCGAGGGUCGGUCAAGGGUCGGACGACCGACAGGCUUCGGAAAUCCGGAGCUCUGCACCAGAAGAACUUGAGCCCUAUAACUCAGAUUUCUGGCUCCCUCCGGACAUCCGAGGGCCGGUCGACCGACCAGCUUCGGAAUUCCGGAGCCCUGCGCCAGAAGAACGUGAGCUCUAUAACUCGGAUUUUCGGCUCCCUCCAGACGUCCGAGGGCCGGACGUCCGACCCCUUUGGAAAUCCGGAACCUUGCACCAGAAGAAGUUGAGUCGAAUAACUCGGANNNNNNNNNNUUUCGGCUCCCUUGGGACGUCCGAGGGCCGGUCAAGGGUCGGACGACCGACAGGCUUCGGAAAUCCGGAGCUCUGCACCAGAAGAACUUGAGCCCUAUAACCCAGAUUUCUGGCUCCCUUCGGACAUCCGAGGGCCGGUCGACCGACCAGCUUCGGAAAUCCGGAGCCCUGCACCAGAAGAAUGUGAGCUCUAUAACUCGGAUUUCCGGCUCCCUCCGGACGUCCGACCCCUUCGGAAAUCCGGAACCUUGCACCAGAAGAAGUUGAGUCGAAUAACUCGGAUUUCCGGCCUUCUCCGGACGUCCGGUCCCUGUUCAACUCACAGUGUUUCCAGACAUAUCUACAGCUCUCGGACGACCGACCCCUUGCGGACGUCCGACCCCUUGCGGACGCCCGGACUUCCGUAAACUGCCGGACGUCCGAACCCUGUGUGACUUAAAGUGUCCCCAACGGCUGCUUUUACACUCCCCACUAUAUAUACCCCCUCCCACUUCGUGAGAGGGUNNNNNNNNNNAUUCAACUCACAGUGUUUCCAGACAUAUCUACAGCUCUCAGAUGACCGACCCCUGUCGGACGUCCGACCCCUUGCGGACGCCCAGACUUCCGUAAACUGGCGGGCGUCCGAACCCUGUGUGACUUAAAGUGUCCCCAAUGGCUACUUUUACACUCCCCACUAUAUAUACCCCCUCCCACUUCGUGAGAGGGUGUCCAACACAGCUACAACACAGCUAGAACACAUCCAAGAACACCCUUCUUCUCACUCACUCUUGUCUACACCAAAUCUUAGAUCCCAAGAGCAUUUGUGAGUCCCUUUGAGUGUUGUUCCAAUCAAAAGAUAGAUCGUCUCCUUCUCCUCCUUCCCACCAAAGUGAUUUGUGAUUUGAGAAAUCCCCGUGAUCUUGUUACUCUUGGAGGUUGGGGACUCCUAGGCGGUAGGAGUCUUCAGAGAGGAAUCAAACCAUUGUGAUUUCCCCCGGAAAGUUUGUGAAGGUUUGGAAGCCACCUCAAGGCUUACCACUAGUGGUUGAGAAACGCCUUCGUGGAGUUAUCUCAAAGGGAGAAUAGGGUGACACUUCGUGGCGUUGGUGUGCCUUCGUGGUAACAUCCGCCCCUCUAACGGUGACGUAGCUUCGCUCCGAGGAAGUGAACAUCGGGAUACAUCCUCGUCUCUCUUGGAGUUUCGGUUAUUCCUAACCCUAACUCUCUACUUGUGUUAAUCCUUAUUACGUACUUGUAUUUGAUUAUUGUUUACCACUUGCCUUACUUCACUCUAAAUAGCUUACUCCUUGUCAUAGCAAUUAUUAGGCCUACACUCAUAUUCCGCACUUUUGCCUAAAAUUGCUAAGUAAUUAUUAAAAUUUGGAACUGUACCUAUUCACCCCCCUCUAGGUCCAUCUCGAUCCUUUUCAAUUGGUAUCAGAGCCUCGUGCUCUAUUCUUGUGGAUUAACCGCCCUAGAGCGAGAUGGACGGGAUUCCAACUACGGUAGCUCCAGUGGAGAGGGACGGGACUUCCACGGAAGUCAAGUCUUUCACCUCUGAGGACCUGGAACGGGCCCUUGCCAAGCAAAAAGAGGAGCAUAAUGCUUCUCUUGAGGCCUUGGUCCAAAUAAGAAUGGCAUCAUUAACCACGGGGACAGCCACGUCCCCGAGGGCCUCAGGGCCACAUGUGCACGGUUCUUCAUUUGGCCAACAACCUCCGGAAAGGAACCAAACCAGUGUUCCAUGGCUUUAUGCUAGAUCUCAAAUUGAGAAACCUAAGUACAAUCCUGGAGGAAAACCUCCCUUGCUUGAUGACAAUUCCGAUUUUGCUUUGUGGAGAGUUGGUAUGCAGGAUCAUCUUAGGUACGCCAAUGAUGAGAUGUUGGACAUCCUCGAGCAUGGGUACAAUCCGGUAGAUCCAAGGUGCCUCACUCCCAGAGAAACUUAUGACAAGCAUCUCAAUGACACUGCGAUCAUGUGCAUAAGAAAAGGAAUGAAUGACAAGCAACGAAGACCUUACAUUCACAUCACAAGUGCCAAGAAACUGUGGGAUAGCAUUAUAAGGACCAAGACCGGUACCUCCACUCUUCGGCUUGCUCAAUAUGAAAUUGCCAAGGGGCAAUUACAGAAUUUCUAUAUGGAAAAGGGUGAAUCUCCCAAGCAACUGAUAGAACGGCUCAUGACUCUCGCCACAGACAUUGAGUCAUGUGACUGUGACAAGACGCAAGAUGGUUUCAAUCUGACCAAGAGAUUUCUCGUGGACAAGUUACUGCAUGCUCUUGCUCCGUAUCACCAUCAAAUGGUAUGGGACAUGAGGCAACACCAUGGGUUCAAAGAAAUGACUCCAGAUGACAUCAUAUCCACUUUCCAAUUAUUUGAAGAGUCAAAGGCAAAUGCAACAAAGCACCUUGCCAUGCAUGGCACUUCAACAUCAAAGAUCAAUCUUGCUUUGAAAGCCAAGCAUGAAUGCGACGAAGAAGAAAGUGAAGAAGUAGAGGGUGAUGAUGACUGCGAAGAUGGCGAUGAUGUUGACUCUGAUGAAAGCCCAUCUUGUGAGGACAUUGCUCUCUUUGUAAAGAAGUUCAGUGCGGGAAAAUUCAAGGGAAGAUUCCCAAAGAAGAAGGUAAGGAAAUGCUACAACUGUGAGGAAACCAACCACUUCUCCAAUGACUGCCCUUAUGAGAAGAGAGAAGACAAACCAAGGUUUCCAAAGACCUUUGUAAAGAAGAAGUUGCCAAACCCUAUGAUCUCCAAACUCAAGAGGACAGAUGGAAGAGCAAUGGUUGCACAAGAAGAAUCUGAUCCAGAAGACGUUGGUGGGGUUGGCGGAGUAGCUCAGGAUACACAAAACACCUUGAGGUUAGUCAACAGAAGUGGCGAUGUUGUUCACUACAACUAUAUGAAAGACUACAAGGGCAACGCCCACAAGUGUUUGAUGGCAAAGACUUCCAUGGGAGAUGAGGAAGACCAAAGCUCCCAUGAUAAGGUUAAGGUAACUCCACGGUUAAACUCUUUGAGUCUAGCUUCUACUCCAUCUAAUAAGUAUCUUGAUGAAGAAGAUCAUUAUGAGGAUAAUGACUUAGAUCAUCCCAUGUUUGCUAAAAUAAACAAAUUUAUGUGCUCUCUUAAAGGAAAGAAGCUCACUAUGUUUCGCAUACUUAUGGAAAUGGUGAAUAAGCACACCAAUACCAUCAAGGAACUCGAAACCCUCGUCACUGAGGAGAAGGAAAGAAAUGAAAUCCUUGAGCAGAAAGUCCUGUAUGAGGAAGCACAAAAUGAUGCAUUAUGCUCAAAAGUAGGUGAAAACCUUGAUAAACAUGCUAAUGAUCUUGCCUCCUUGAAAAAGGCUGAAUCUGUGUGCAAAGAGUUACUAAAUGAUAAAAACCGACUAGUGAACUCUCAUGCUUCCCUUUCUAAGGACUGUGAGCGUCUAUCCUUGUCUCUCAAAGACAAGGAAGAGAAACUCACUGUUCUUACAAAGAGCUUUGAGGCACUCAAGGUUACUUAUCUUGACACUUUAGCUAAGGCUUACUCCUCACCUAUUAUUAGUGUUGAUACCCGCACUACUAACUCUAGUAGUGAACUGACAUCUAUCCUUGAGGAAAACUGUUCGCUAAAGGCACAACUAGACAGAGGUCUCAUGACAUGUGCACAAGGACAAAAGACUCUCAAUGAGAUCUUAAGUCGACACAAUGGAGGCCUUGCCAAGGAAGGGCUCGGAUUCAACUCAAGCACCGCCAAGAAAAGCGCAUCUCCUCUCAAGUGUACCACUCCGCUUAAAGAAAUAUUUGUACGAGAGGGACACAAGGAGAAAGGUAAGGUUGUGAGUGGGUCGGCCACUAGGGGUUCGCCUACUCACAACAAGACAACUGAAUUCAUGCCUCCAUCCUAUGUACUUCGCAAAUCAAAGGAAGGAGAGGUUUAUGCUAAAUUAGUUGGUCCCCGUAAUGCAUUCCGAUUUUAUGCUAUUUGGGUCCCUAAGACUCUUGUAACUAAUGUGAAAGGCCCCAUGACGAAAUGGGUACCUCAAACCAAGUCUUAAUUCGUUACAGGCUAUUUUCUCCGGAGGAGCCAAAUGGGUGAUCGACAGUGGAUGCACCAAUCAUAUGACCGGAGAUGGUAACUUGCUCUAUGACUUCAUGCAAGCCAUUCGACCAUACAUGAGCAUUGUAUUUGGUGGAGGGUCGAAAGGGCAGGUAAUUGGGUUGGGCAAGGUGGCAAUCACUAAUGACAUGUCUAUUGCAAAUGUCAUGCUUGUCCAAUCUCUUCAAUAUCACUUACUUUCAGUUCGCCAAUUGGCUUCCGUUGGUUAUGACACACUAUUCGGACUAACGGAUGUGAAAGUCUUUAAGAGAGACUCUCUCGAAGUGGCCUUUGUUGGAGAGUUGGAUGGCAACCUUUACACGGUUGAUUUCUCGAAAGAGAGCACCUUCCAUACAACUUGUCUAAUGGCCAAGGCUGACAUGGGAUGGUUGUGGCAUCGCCGGCUCACCCAUGUCGGCAUGAGAAAUCUUCAAAAUAUCUUAAACGACAAUCACAUCCUUGGACUAACGAAUGUACCUUUUAAGAAAGAUCGUGUGUGCAGUGCAUGCAUAGCUGGGAAACAACAUCAAUCAAAACAUCCACCCAAGAACAUUGUAUCCACUUCGAGGCCGUGAGAGCUCCUUCAUGUGGAUUUGUUUGGGCCUCCUUCAUGGGCAAGUCUUGGAGGGAAAAAGUAUGGCCUAGUCAUUGUUGAUGAUUACUCAAGAUAUACAUGGGUGUUCUUUCUCAAGUCCAAGGACGAGACGAAGAUCACCUUCAUUGAUUUUGCCAAACAAGCCCAGCGGAAGUUUGACAAGGACAUCAAGGCAAUAAGAAGUGAUAAUGGCUCUGAGUUCAAGAACUACACCCUAGAAGAAUUUCUUAGUGAUGAGGGAAUUGAACAUCAGUACUCCGCACCUUACACCCCUCAGCAAAAUGGUGUGGCAGAGAGGAAGAACCGGACACUUGUGGAAAUGGCAAGGUCCAUGUUAGACGAAUACAAGUCACCACAUAGUUUUUCGGCUGAGGCCGUCAACAAAGCAUGUCAUGCAUCAAACCGUCUCUUCCUUUGAUCAAUAUUGGAGAAGACUCCAUAUGAGCUCCUAACUGGGAACAAGCCCAAUGUUAAGUACUUUCGUGUGUUUGGAUGCAAGUGUUUCAUCCUCAACAAACGGGAACGGUUAGGAAAAUUUCAAUCCAAAACAACUCAAGGGAUUUUUGUUGGCUAUGGAUCAAACUCUCACGCCUACAGAGUCUACAACAAAUCCACUGGAUGUGUUAUAGAAACCUGUGACGUGACGUUUGAUGAAUUUAACCGCUCCCAUGGGGAGCAAGUCGAUCUAAGUGAUGCAGGUGAAAAAGGCUCCUCACAAGAUAUCUUGAACAUGGGUGUAGGUGCACUUCUUCACAUGGAACAAAGACCCCAUGAUGAUGAUUAAGAUGAUGAGAGUAUUUCUCAUCCUCAAGACAGUUCACUGCCCGUACCUACACAAGAUACUAGCACACAUAUCAUGCUAGUUGUUGAGGAUCAAGUGGGAGAACAUGUCUCUCACUCUGAUCACACUCAAGAACAAGUUGAUCUUCAAGAGCUAGACCAAAGUAUGGAUAUGCUUAAUGAUGAACCUUAACAGGUGCAACGCGAAGAGGAAUAUCUUCCUCCGCACAUAAAUGAUCCAUAUGUUGAGGAUGUUGAUGAUGGAAACGAAGUCGAACCUCGUGAAACCCUGACCUCCAUCAUGCCACGUGUGGCCGGUCGUGUUGAUAUUGAUCAAAUCCUCACCGGCGUGUCGGAAGGUAGAGUGACUCAUAAACAAUUAACAAACUUCUGUGCUCACUUUUCGUUUGUCUCUAGUACCGUGCCACACAGGGUUCAGGAUGCAUUGUGUGACAAUGACUGGCUCCUUGCUAUGCAAGAAGAGUUAAACAGUUUUACACGCAACGAAGUAUGGUCAUUAGUAGAACGACCAACUGAGGAACAUAAUGUCAUUGGAACUAAAUGGAUUUUCAAGAACAAGGAAGAUGAUAAUGGGACUGUCCUACGCAACAAGGCGUUAGUAGCACAGGGGUACUCCCAAGUUGAAGGUUUGGACUUUGGUGAGACUUUCGCCCCUGUUGCUCGUCUUGAAUCCAUUCGCAUUUUAUUGGUCUAUGCUGCUUUCAAUGGUUUUACUUUGCAUCAAAUGGAUGUGAAAAGUGCUUUUCUUAACGGUCCUCUACAAGAAGAGGUAUAUGUAUCACAACCACCUGGGUUUGUUGACCCUCACCACAAAGACCAUGUAUACAAACUUCACAAGGCUCUGUAUGGCCUCAAACAAGCACCCUGUGCUUGGUACGAUCAUCUUAAGAAGUUCCUACUCGAUGAUGGCUUUGUGGUGGGGGUGAUCGAUCCCACUCUUUUUACUAAGAGGGAAAAUGGUGACUUGAUCUUAUGCCAAAUCUAUGUCGAUGACAUCAUUUUUGGUUCUCCUAACAUCCAUUUAUGCAAGAAGUUUGCGGCCUCCAUGACCAAGACCUUUGAGAUGUCACUCAACACGGACUUGAAGUUCUUUCUUGGGUUUCAAAUACAACAAUUUCAAGAAGGGAUUUUCUUGUCUCAAACUAAGUACCUCAAGGACAUUCUUGAAAAAUAUGAUAUGACAAAUGCUAAACCAAUGAAGACACCCAUGGCCACAGAUGUAGUUCUAAAUGAAGACACCAACGGUAUUCCUUUUGACCCAUCUACUUACCACUCCAUGAUUGGUUCGCUACUUUAUCUUUGCGCAUCUAGACCGGACAUCAUGUUAAGUGUAGGCAUAUGUGCUAGAUUUCAAGCUUCCCCUAGGGAAAGCCAUCAUACGGCGGUUAAGCAUAUUCUUAGAUACCUUGUUCACACCCCAAAGUUAGGCUUAUGGUACCCUAAGGAUGCAAAGUUCGAUCUUAUUGGGUACUCCGAUGCGGAUUGGGCCAGUGACAAAGUGGGACGGAAAUCCACUUCCGGUGCAUGUCAGUUUCUUGGACGCUCCUUGGUAAGUUGGUCCUCGAAAAAGCAGAUAUGUGUUUCGCUCUCCACGGCUGAGGCUGAAUGUAUUGCAGCCGCAAGCUGUGCAACCCAACUGCUAUGGAUGAGGCAAACCCUAAAGGAUUAUGGUAUCACGUAUCGACACGUUCCUCUUCUCUGUGAUAAUGAAAGUGCCAUAAAGAUCUCCGAGAACCCCAUUGAUCACCCUCGCACAAAACAUAUUGAUAUUAGGUAUCAUUUCUUGAGAGACCAUGUGCAAAAGGGUGACAUUGAUAUUACCCAUGUGGGUACCGACAUGCAGCUCGCCGACAUUUUCACCAAGCCACUUAGCGUAGCUAGGUUCUGUCAACUUAGGCAUGAACUUGGUAUCUUGGAGCUUGAUAACAUAACUUGAAAUCUUGCACACACGCACACACUCACAUUAUGUUUGUGUCUUGAUGUGGGCAUGCAUUUAGGGGGAGUUGGUCAUAAUUUUGUGUUUUGAGCUUACAAAGUAUGCAUAAAUCAACUUCUGUCCACAAGUAGUAUAUGUAAUGCUUGUAGGCAACUAUGUUCGUGCUCUUUGUGAGAAACCAUGAAAAAUCAUCAUCUCAUCAUCAAAAAUUCAAGAAUCACCAUCUGCCUCCUCUCUCUCGGUCGUCCGACGUGUCUCGGACGUCUGGAGGCUAACCUCAUUCCGGACGUCCGACGGCAAAAUCCUCUCCGAACGUCCGACGCCUGUCGGACGUCCGACACAUCGGGGCCUAUAAAUAGAUGGGCGCGGGGCUGGGCUUUGCCCUAGCCCUCAUGCGCCCCCUUUUUCCCCUGCAGCCGCCGCCGCCAGCACCCGGUGCGCUCACCCGCGCCGCCACUCCCGAGAUCUGCCUGAUCUCCUCCGCAGAUCUUUUCUUCUUCCUCUUCUUCCUCCACGGGAUCCAUCUGCAGGUAUCUCCUCCGUUUCCCUCGCGUUUGGUUCCCUCUCUCCCUAGUCCACGUGUUCGUUCAUAUGGUUUGACCAUCUUCGUUCCUCAUUUGGGUUUCCACCCGUGUAGGUUGUUGUGCACCAUGCCCAGGGUUAAGCACGCCGCCCGGAAGGACAUUGCUGGCUCAUCCGCUCGUGCCCCUACUGGCACGGGGUCGGACUCGGAAGGGCAACGUUGUCCCUUCAAACGGACUGCCCGGCGUCCUCCGUCUCCACUGCUCCCCUCGUCGUCUGAUGGUGAUGGCUCUGACUUCGAGGAUGAGCUUGCCGUCGAGGACUGUGCUACCCAGCCCGCCGAUCGGAGGUCCAUGCCAAAGCCCGGGACUCGCAGGGCGUCCUAUAUGCCACCACCUCCUCCUGCACAGCCCGCAGGUGAAGCUCGCCGCAUCUCACUUGAACCGCCUGCUACCUUAGGUCGUGAAGUCACAAACUUCACCACUCUUGCCAAGUCUUCAUACCUCACUUUCCGCCGCGACAUUGAUCAAUUCUCUGUCGUACGUGAUUCUACGGACUCACGUUUCCGCACUCACGUCCAGGCGGACAUUUUUACUACAGUCAUAGUUCCUAAGGGUCUCUCUGUUCAUCACUUCAUAGAUCUUGAGCAUAUUCGCAUGCACCCGGCGAAAUACCCGGGUGCCACUGAGCUUAUUGAGGCAUCGGGGCUUGCUGCCCCGUUUGCUUUUCAUCGUGAUUUUAACGCUGCUGGCAUUCACCAGUUCUAUGCCACAUGCUUCUUUGGUCCAAAUCACACUGUUAGCUGGAUCACCUCUGACGUUCGCUUCACAACUUCUUAUGAUACGUUUGUUGCCGCACUUGGUUUCCCCAAUUCCGGCUUCAAAAUACAUAGGAAUGAUCCUAACCAUGCAGCUAAGUCCAUUGAGGCAUGUGGGUAUCUCCUCAAACCACUCUGUGAGCUUGAUGCGGAUGAACGCAUGAAGGAUCUUAACCAGGUAUCCAUCUGGCGUUCACCUUACUUUAUCAUCUUUCAGUGUCUUAUCCACACCAUCUAUCCCAAGAUGGGUGAUAAGGGCUCUUGCAGUGGCUACUGUAUUGACAUCAUGUCACACUUGUACGAGCACCCCAGGAGAAAAAUUAAUGUGCCUCACUUUCUCUGGCAUGAGAUCCGGCUUGCUAGUUUUCAAUACAAGCGAGCUUUCCCUCAUGCCCCUUCAUCCAGGCUCUUAUUAAUCAUGUUGCUGAUUUCUCUGUUGCUGUCACUCACACACAUCGCAAGUGGGUCAUUCCCGCUCACAUGGCGGAUAACUAUGCUCCCAAGAAAACCCCAUCCUCCACAUCCACUCGCCGCACUGCUGCCCGGUCAGCAACCCCCUCAUCUAGCUCCGCUCCUCUCGGUCGCUUUGCCAACUUCAUUGGCAAGGCACAUUCUGCUAUGAUGAAGGCCAUCUCUUUCCAGUGUGGUCAAACCCAUGAUGUGGUUUCUCGCCUAGUCUCCUCCAAGAAUGCCCUCAAGGCUCGUCUGAGAGACUCGGGCGCUCUUGAUGUGAGUGAUGAUGAGGCCGUUCCUGCUGCUCCUCCUUCUAACUUUGGCUUCCCAUCUGGUCCUGAGUGGGAUGAUUUCCUUGACGAGGCUGGUGGCAGUGGCUUGCCUGACGAUGAGGAUGAUGCUGAUGAGCUCUGAGCAUGGUUGAUGUUGUUGGUGCCUCCCUUUUUGGUACUUGGUGCCAAAGGGGGAGUAAUGUAUCGUAGUUUUUAGUCUUUGGAGAUUUAUUCUAAGUUUGCAUGGUUGAGUAAUGUAAUGGAUAAACUCAUGUAUGGCUUGUAUGGCUACUUAUGAAUGUUGUGAUUGCUAUGGAUUGCUAUGGUAUCAUCAUAGGCUAUUAUGUUUUGCUCCACUACUUCUAUGAUGAUCUAUUGUCUUUCUAUGAUGAUCUAUUAUCUUUACAUGAUGAUCCAUUAUAUGUUCGAUACACACAUUAAAAGGGAGCUCCGAUAUUUUAUCAUGCACAUACUAAGGGGGAGCUCCGUACAAAAUCUCUCCAAGGCUAUAAUGUAUGUUAAAUCUUUUUGAGACCUAUGUAUAUGUUGUCAUCAACUACCAAAAAGGGGGAGAUUGAAAGUGCAUGAUAUGCCCCUAAUCGACUUUUGGUGUUAAUGACAACACAUACAUAGGAAACUAAUCCUAUAUGUUGAGUGUAUCUCAGGAUGGCAAGUACUUUAGUAGAUUGAGAAUUAUGUGCCAAAGGUAGUCUGAGAAGAUCGAGAUUUAUAUGUCCAGAAGGCUCGGGAUUGAGAAAAGAUGAUGUAGACUAUCCUUUCGAGUUNNNNNNNNNNNNNNNNNNNNNNNNNNNNNNNNNNNNNNNNNNNNNNNNNNNNNNNNNNNNNNNNNNNNNNNNNNNNNNNNNNNNNNNNNNNNNNNNNNNNAAAUCCCGGAGUGACAAUAUCCAGAACCACUCCCGGAGAUGACCAUAGUAUGAGGAAUUCAUGUAUUCACCGCGUGUUAAUGCAUUGGUCCAGUUCUUUAUUAAAAGGAUAACCUUAAUAUCUCGUAGUUUCUAUUAGGACCCCGCUGGCACGGGAGGGAUGGACAAUAGAUGUCAUGCAAGUUCUUUUCCCUAAGCACGUAUGACUACAUACGGAAUACAUGCCUACAUUAGAUUGACGAACAGGCACUAGUUACUUAUCUCUCUGUGUUCUAGCUAUUACAUGAUGAAUCACAUCUAUCAUAAUCAUCCAUCACCGAUCCACUGCCUAUGAGUCUUUUACUACUGGUCCUUGCUACGUUACUUUGUCCAGGCUUGUCCCUUGCUACAAAAGGGAUUGGACCACUUUGCUACUACUGUUGCUACUGUUGUUACUCUGGUGCUGCUGCUACUGUUGUUCCUUGCUACUUCGAUGUUACUUGUUGCAAGACUUUUUCGACACCGUUGUCGGGGAAGAAUAGUUCCCCGUCCAUGUGCACUUUACUGGCGCCAUUGAUACAACAGUUAGGAAUAGUCUCCCGUCAACAGAUAUGUUUCUGACACCGUUGCUAUCAUCCUACUUUGCUACAGAUACUUUGCUUGCAGACACUAAUCUUUCAGGUGUGGUUGAAUCUGACAAACUCGGCUGCUAAUACUUGAGAAUAUUCUUUCGUUUCCCCUUGAGGCGAAUCAACAAAUUUGGGUCGAAUACUCUACCCUCGAAAACUGUUGUGAAACCCUACACUUGUGGGUUAUCAACGACUCUAACAGAAUUUUCAUUCAACUCAUUGAGCAAGUCAUUAUGAGCCUUAAGUACUUGUUCUACCUGAGUAGCAACCAUAGAGGCAUGUUUACUCAAAAGCUUAAGAUCAUUGACAUUUCUAUCCACACAAGCACUUAAAUGACCAAGCAUACGAGCAUUCUGUUCCAAUUGUCUGCUAACAUAAUCAUUGAAUCUUUGUUGUUUGGCAACAAAGUUAUCAAAUUCAUCUAGGCACAAGCUAGCAGGUUUAUCAAAAGGAAUAUCACUCUCAUUGAAUAUACGAAGAGAAUUUACCUCUACUACCUGUGUCGGGUUAUCAAGACCAUGGAUCUCUUCGAUAGGUGGUAGAUUUUUGACAUCUUCAGAUNNNNNNNNNNUUUAGCUUCUUGCAUAUCUUCAGGACUGAGGCAUGGGAUACCUCUUUUAUUUGUAGUUGGCUUCGGAGGUGGUUCGGGAAUAGUCCAAGUAUUCUCAUUGCACAAUAUAUUAUUCAAUAGAAUCUCAACUUGUUCCACAGUUCGUUCCCUAAAAACACAACCAGCACAACUAUCUAGGUGGUCCCUAGAAGCAUCGGUUAGUCCAUUAUAGAAGAUAUCAAGUAUUUCAUUCUACUCAAGAGGGUGAUUAGGCAAAGCAUUCCGCAGCUGGACAUGCCUUCCCCAAGCUUGUGGGAGACUCUCUUCUUCAACUUGCACAAAGUUAUAUAUUUCCUGCAAGGCAGCUUGUUUCUUAUGGGCAGGAAAAUAUUUCUCAGAGAAGUAGUAGAUCAUAUCCUGGGGACUACGCACACAACCAGGAGCAAGAGAAGUGAACCAAGUCUUAGCAUCAUCCUUUAGCGAGCAAGGAAACAGCUUAAGGAUAUAGUAGUGGCGGAUCUUUUCCUCACUCGUGAAUAGGGUGGCUAUAUCAUGCAGCUUAGUAAGAUGUGCUACAACCGUUUCAGACUCAUAACCAUGAAAAGGAUCAGAUUCGACCAAAGUGAGUAACUCAGGGUCGACAAAGAAUUCAUAAUCCUUAUCGGUCACAAAGAUAGGCGAAGUAGAAAACUUCGGGUCGUAUUUCAUCCUAGCGUUCAGAGAUUUUUCUUUCCACUUGCGCAGUAAAUUCUCAAGAUCAUAGCUAUCCUUACAAGCAAGAAAGUCCUCAGCUAUCUCUCCCUCCAUAACAUAACCCUUUGGUAUAUCAGGCAAUUCAUAUCUAGGAGAGCUAGUUCUAACAGGUGAUAUAGGAGGUUCUACUUCAAUAAUCUCAGCAGUUUCAAAAGUAUCAUCACAUUCNNNNNNNNNNNNNNNNNNNNNNNNNNNNNNNNNNNNNNNNNNNNNNNNNNNNNNNNNNNNNNNNNNNNNNNNNNNNNNNNNNNNNNNNNNNNNNNNNNNNACUCCCGGAGAUGACCAUAGUAUGAGGAGUUCAUGUAUUCACUAAGUGCCAAUUCUUUGUUCCAGUUCUCUAUUAAAAGGAGAACCUUAAUAUCCCUAGUUUCCAUUGGGACCCCGCUGCAUGGGAGGGAUGGACAAUAGAUGUCAUGCAAGUUCUUUUCAUAAGCACGUAUGACUAUAUACGGAAUACAUGCCUACAUUACAUUGACGAACUAGAGCUAGUUACAUAUCUCCCCAUGUUAUAACUGUUGCAUGAUGAAUGUCAUCCGACAUUAUUAUCCAUCACCGAUCCAAUGCCCAUGAGUUUUUCCUACUGGUCCUUGCUACGUUACUUUGCCGCUACUACUGUCACUGCUGCUAUUGUUACCGCUACUGCUGUCACUGCUGCUAUUGUUACCGCUACUGCUGUCACUGCUGCUAUUGUUACCACUACUGCUAUCACUGCUGUUAGUGUUACCGUUGCUGCUCUUGCUAUCACACUACUUUGCUACUGAAACUUUGCUGCACAUACUAAGUCUUUCAGGUGUGGUUGAAUUGACAACUCAACUGCUAAUACUCGAGAAUAUUCUUUGGCUUCCCCUUGUGUCAAAUCAACAAAUUUGGGUUGAAUACUGUACCCUCGAAAACUGUUGCGAUCCCCUAUACUUGUGGGUUAUCAAGACUAUUUUCUCGCGCCAUUGCCGGGGAGGCAGUGCUCUAUUCUCUGAGUCACUUGGUAUUUACGUCUGUUGAUCACUAUGAGGAAUCUGAAAGAUCCAAAAACUAAAGUCUUGCCCUCAACUACGAGGACAGGUUAGGAACUGCCAUCUAGCUCUGCACUUGACUCACCUUCAGUUAUGAGUAAGUUUGCGACACCACCGCCUGCUAGAAAUUCUGAUAUGUCGCCUGUGCUUGAUGAUGCUACUUCUGCUAUCCAUGAUGCUUGUGAUGAUGCUUUGCUUGAUACUGCCUUGCCACUAGGUGCAUUCCUAGAUGCACAAAUUACUAGAGUUGCUGCUGAAUGUGAUGAUACUUUUGAAACUGCUGAGAUUAUUGAAGUAGAACCUGCUACUAUGCCUGAAUUGCCUAUUAUGCCUGAACGUUAUGUCAUGGAGGGAGAGAUAGCUGAGGACUUUCUUGCGUGUAAGGAUAGCUAUGAUGUUGAGAAACUACUACUCAAGUGGAAAGAAAAAUCUCUGAACGCUAGGAUGAAAUACGACCCGAAGUUUGCAACUUCGCCUAUCUUUGUGACCGAUAAGGAUUAUGAAUUCUCUGUCGACCCUGAGUUAAUCACUCUGGUAGAAUCUGAUCCUUUUCACGGUUAUGAGUCUGAAACGGUUGUAGCCCAUCUUACCAAACUGCACGAUAUAGCCACCCUAUUCACUAGUGAGGAAAAGAUCCGCCACUACUAUAUCCUCAAGCUGUUUCCUUUCUCGCUAAAGGAUGAUGCUAAGACCUGGUUCACUUCUCUUGCUCCUGGAUGUGUGCAUAGCCCCCAGGAUAUGGUCUACUAUUUCCCUGAAAAAUAUUUCCCUGCCCAUAAGAAGCAAGCUGCCUUGCAGGAAAUAUACAACAUUGCUCAAGCUGAGGAAGAGAGUCUCCCACAAGCUUGGUGGAGGCUCAUCCAGCUACUAAAUGCUUUGCCUGAUCACCCUCUUGAGAAGAAUAAAUUACUUGAUAUCUUCUAUAAUGGACUUACCGAUGCUUCCAAAGACCACCUAGAUAGUUGUGCCGGUUGUGUUUUUAGGCAACAAACCGUAGAACAAGCUGAGAUUCUAUUGAAUAACAGCUUGUGCAAUGAGAAUGCUUGGACUAUUCCCGAACCACCUCCUAAGCCAACUCCGAAGAAAAGAGGUAUUCUAUUCCUCAGUCCUGAAGAUACGCAAGAAUCCAAGAAAUCUAUGCGAGAGAAAGGCAUUAAAUCUGAAGAUGUCAAAAAUCUACCACCUAUCGAAGAGAUCCAUGGUCUCGAUAACCCGAUACAGGUAGUAGAAGUAAAUUCUCUGCGUAGGUUUGAUGAGAGUGAUAUUCCUUUUGAUAAACCUGCUAGCUUAUGCAUGGAUGAAUUUGAUAACUUUGUUGCCAAACAACAGAGUUUCAAUGAUUAUGUUAGCAGACAAUUGGAACAGAAUGCUCGUAUGCUUAGUCAUUUAAGUGCUUGUGUGGACAGAAAUGUCAAUGAUCUUAAGCUUCUGAGUAAACAUGCCUCUAUGGUUACUACUCAGGUAGAACAAGUACUUAAAGCUCAGAAUGACUUGCUCAAUGAGUUGAAUGACAAUUCCGUUAGAGUCGUCACUAGAGGCGGUAGAAUGACCCAGGAACCUUUGUAUCCUGANNNNNNNNNNNNNNNNNNNNNNNNNNNNNNNNNNNNNNNNNNNNNNNNNNNNNNNNNNNNNNNNNNNNNNNNNNNNNNNNNNNNNNNNNNNNNNNNNNNNAAAGAAACUAGGUGAUCCCGGUGUGCCCACUAUACCUUGCUCCAUUAAAGGUAACUAUGUGAGAACUGCGCUAUGCGAUCUUGGAGCCAGUGUUAGUGGUAUGCCUCUCUCUCUCUUUAUCGUAGACUUGAACUGGAUAAAUUGACACCCACUGAAAUCUCUCUGCAAAUGGCCGACAAAUCAACUGCUUUCCCUAUCGGCAUUUGCGAGGAUGUGCCUGUUGUGGUUGCUAACGUCACCAUCUUAACAGACUUUGUUAUCUUGGAUAUUCCUGAGGACGAUGCCAUGGCGGUCAUCCUUGGAAGACCCUUUUUAAACACUGCAGGGGUUGUUAUAGAUAGCAACAAACGCAAUGUCACUUUCCAUGUCAACGGUAAUGAGCAUACGGUGCACUUUCCGAAGAAACAAUAUCAAGUAUAUUGCAUCAAUGCUAUCUAAAAAACUUCAUCGAUUCUUAUUGGGAGCUUUGAAUGCCCUAUUCGUCGUGUCAAGAUGAAGUAUGAUUUGCUUGUUGGCGAGAUACAUAUCCCCAUUGAGGUGACGUAGUGACUAUUCGAAAAUUAUCCGUUCCCUUUUGCGAUGCGAAAAGGUUGUCGAGGAGACUUGAUCAACCUCAUUAGUGGAAUUUCUUUCGAUGACCAUGAGAUGGAUGAAUCAAGGAGUCACAAACCUCUGUUCCAAGCUUUCACCUUCGGUUGCUUAGAAGAAAAAUGAUAGAUUUAGUUUAUUUUUCCCUAUUUUCUGUUUUUGCGUCCGGUGGAAAAGUACCCCGAAAAUAAAAGUUCUCCGAACGUCCUGAAAAUCAAGUAUGAUUUUUUAUGGAAUUUUUGAAAAAUUCUGAGAUAAAGAGCUUGUCUGGGGGCCACACCAGUGGGCCACAAGCCCUAGGGGCGCGGGCACCCCCCCUGGCCGCACAACCCAGGCUUGUGGGGCCCACAGGCACCCCCUCCACUCAUUCUUGCUCUCAUAUGGUUCUCCUACCUCCAGAAAAAAAUCAUAUUGCAGCUCAAACCCGUGUUCUUGCUCCUCUUGCUGGGAUUUUCGAUCUCUUUGCUCAAAUCACCGUUCUCCGAACUGUUUUGGGGAAUUACUCCUCGGUAAGUAACUCCUCCAUUGGUCCAAUUAGUUUUUGCUCUAGUGCCUUAUACUCCACGUAUUUUUGCUGCCUUGGUGACCAUGUUCUUGAGCUUUGCAUGAUAAUUCUAGCUGGUCCCAAGUAGUUUUGAUGCGUAAUAUGGUCUCUAGGCACUGGUAGGAGUAGUUGCUACGAAUUUCGUUGGGCCUUAUUCACUUUUCCUUAGAAUCACUGAAAAUUUCAGAAAUUUUCAGAGAUAGAAAAGGGAAAAGAUGAGGAGGUUCUUAAUAGGCUCGUCAAGCCGUGACCCCAAGGAUGAUGGGAGUGAGAAGAAGCCCAAGUAUCUGGUCCCUCGAGUCACAGAAGUUCGAGCUUGCGAGUGGCCAAGCGACAUGUUCUUACGCACCGCUGGAAUUUAUGAGGACUUUUAUCACUUGGUGGAAAACGCAGGCCUUACCGCCUUCGUUGAAGAUAAGUGUCUGCAAUACCUCCUCCUCACUAAUAUCUUCGUACAAAGCUUUAACUUUUAUCCGAGGAAGAAUCCUCUUAUGGUUGAGUUCAAACUUUAUGAUAUCCCCCAGCGCAUGUCACUCCAGGAUUUUUGCAAUGUCUGCAAAUUACCUUACAUUGGGGAUAUUCAUGAACCUCGUCCACGGGACUUGGAAGCUUUCAUCGAUACAAUUGUUGUAGGAGAGGAAAGAGGAGUGUCCUACGCUAGAGCUGCUAGCAUUCAUUUUCCCGUGCUUCGGUACUUCUCAUUAUUUAUGGGAAAAUGUUUGAUUGGUCGUGGGAAAGCUGGGUCACUUAAUUCCCCGGAUCUUGCGGUCUUGCUUGAAGCCCUUUAUAACGAUAAAACUUAUAGCUUGGGCGCUAUAGUAGCUCAACGGUUGAACUUGAACCAUUCUAAAGGUGUUGUCUAUGGAGGUAUCUAUGCUACUCAUCUUGCUAGACACUUUCAGAUACACAUUAGACUAGAGGAAGAAGAAGAGGUUCUUCUUCCCGAGAGAUAUCUCGAUUACGAUAGCAUGGUUCGCCAUGACUUUCUUGAUAGAGACAUAAGUAGAAGGAUGAUUUAUAACCUGGUAUUUAGUCAGGGUACUCGUGAGACUAUUACUUUGCCUGCUCCUUCUUUGUUCAAUCUUCAUGCACGCACGUACAUUAUUAUGCCCUCGGAAAUCUAUGCAUAUUGGCGCUUAGCCCAACCACAGGUGCCCGUGCCCGAGCCACCAGUCGAGUACGAGACGUCGGUUUAUCAGUGGGAGCCAGAGGAGCUCACACAGAAGUGGCACCCUCAGUCCACUCCGGAGUACCCCGGAGCUGGUUAUUUCCCUCCUUGGGAGUAGACCAACUUAGGCCAAAAGCCUAAGCUUGGGGGAGUACGUGUUUCUCACCGACUUUACAUUCUUACUUAUGCUUUCACUUUUUUCGUCGGUGUUCACACUUUGCCACUGUAUCAUCCAUGCUAGUUUAUUUUCUUUUUCCCGUUUUCUUUUUGUGUGUCUGUCUAGUUUGAGAAAACCCAAAAAGAUUUUAUUUUUCUUCUUUUGCUUGUUGGGAGCUUUCCCAUGUAAAUAGUUUUCUUUUUCUUUGGGUCAAGGUAGAGGAUAUUGGUUACAAUGUUUAGUGGCUCUUGCAUGCAUACCUGUUUAGCUUUCAAAGAGCCAUAUUACUUUGUCUUCUCCUUCGUGUUUGCCUGCAGAUUCGAACAUAGUCCAAUGCACGAGCACGCUUAUUAUUGUUCACUUCGUUCGAUCGUGCAAGUGAAAGGCAAUAAUGACGAUAUAUGAUGAAGUGACUGAGCCUGGAAAAGCUGGUAUGAAGUCGAUCUAUUUUGUUUUUGUAAAUAUGACUAGCUCAUCAUGCCUGAUUCAGCUUUGUUGUGAAAGAAACAUGUUUGCAAUGACAACUUAGAGAUCAUAGUUUCUUAUGCCAUGCUUACUUAGCUAGGAGCUCAUAAUGGUUUGUCUUGGAUGCCCACAUGAAUGUUGAGAUGAUUGUGUUGUAGUAUGAUAGGAUGGUAUCCUCCUUUGAAUGAUUCAAGUGGCUUGACUUGGCGCAUGUUCACGCAUGUAGUUGAAACAAAAUCAACAUAGCCUCUAUGAUGUUCAUGUUCAUGGUGAUUUAUGUCCUACUCAUGCUUGCACUCAAUGUUAGUUAAUCUCAAUGCAUUUUGAUGACUGUUCUCGCUCUCUAGUUGGUCGCUUCCCAGUCUUUUGCUAGCCUUCACUUGUACUAAGUGGGAAUAUUGCUUGUUUAUCCACUCCCAUAAACCCAAAGUUGUGCCAUAUGAGUCCACCAUACCUACCUAUAUGCGGUAUCUACCUGCCAUUCCAAGUAAAUUUGCAUGUGCCACUCUCUAAACCUUCAAGAAAUAAUCUGUUUUGCAUGCCCGAACCACUCAUGUGGUGACAGGGGGCUAUUGGUAUCUUCCAUGCUAGGCGUGUUAUCCUCGAUAUGUGUUUAUUCACUAUCAUUCACGGGAAAGGGGCUGGUAAUUGGAAUUCCCAGUACCAUACUCAAAUCGAAAAGAUAAUUGCAAAUAAAACUCCCCCGGGAUUGAUGUUGGUAUGGACGGUACCCGAGGCGUGGAGUGUGAUUGAUUGGUGGUGGAGGAGUCAAAACUUUACUUUUCUGUUUGGGAACCGCCUAUAGCAUGUGUAGCAUGGAACAUGUUGAGAACUCUUAGUCAUUGUGUUGACAAUGAAAGCAUGCCACCCAAAAUUAUUAUCUCUGUUUUCAAAGCUUGAGCUCUGGCACCUCUGCAAAUCAAUGCUUCCCUAUGCGAAGGGCAUGUCUAUUUAUGUUCCUGUUGAGUCAUCCUACUCUUAUAAAAGCACCAAUUAGAGAGCACCCCUAUCAUUUUUAUGCUUUACUUUUAACUGUGUUGAGUGUGACUAUGAAUGGAUCUUCAUUGCCUUGAAUUACAAUGUUUAGUCAGCCUUGGUCUUUGAAGGUGCUCUGCAUUUAUGUUUUGUGGUCUCAGAAAGAGCUAGUGAGAUACCAUCUAUUCGUGUUGCUUCAUGAUUGUUUUGAUUGAAGUGUUGACAUUUGAGACUUAUUAUUAUUUGCUCGCUAGCUGAUUAUGACAUUGAUAUGAGUUUACCGUGAGACCUAGAUGUCAUUUGCUUAUGUGGCUUGCUUGUGAUGUUGCUGAAAUUCUGGUUAUGAGUUAGACAUAGUUGCAACCACAAGAUCAAACGGAGUUCGUCAAAGUUUUUCUUUUGUCUCUUUCAGUUUGUCAACUGAAUUGCUUGAGGACAAGCAAGGCUUUAAGCUUGGGGGAUUNNNNNNNNNNNNNNNNNNNNNNNNNNNNNNNNNNNNNNNNNNNNNNNNNNNNNNNNNNNNNNNNNNNNNNNNNNNNNNNNNNNNNNNNNNNNNNNNNNNNACAUUCUCAACAACCACUUACUUAGCAGACAUUUAUUCUUCACCUCUGAAUUCUCAAUUCCCAGACCACCUUGGUAUUUUGGCCUACAGAAAAUGUCCCAUCUAGUUAGUUUGUAUUUCUUCUUAUCCUCAUUAGUCUGCCAAAAAAAUNNNNNNNNNNNNNNNNNNNNNNNNNNNNNNNNNNNNNNNNNNNNNNNNNNNNNNNNNNNNNNNNNNNNNNNNNNNNNNNNNNNNNNNNNNNNNNNNNNNNNNNNNNNNNNNNNNNNNNNNNNNNNNNNNNNNNNNNNNNNNNUCGGUACCUCAAAGGAGAGGAGGAACAUAGGCAUACUCGUCAGAAUCGAGUUAAUAAGAAUUAGUCUAACUCCAUAUGAGAGCAGCUUGCCCUUCCAGCAACUUAGCUUUUUCUCAAAUCGAUCUUCUAUGCAUUUCCACUCGUUAUUGGAAAGCUUCCGAUGAUGAAUAGGUAUGCCUAGAUAGCUGAACGGUAGGCUCCCCAUUUCACACCCGAACAAUUGUCUAUAUGUGUUUGGUUCAUCUUUGGUUUUCCCAAAGAAAAACAACUCACUCUUAUGGAAAUUUAUUUUCAGACCACACAAGUGUUCAAAUAGACAGAGUAUAAGUUUCAUAUUCCUAGCUUUUGCUAUAUCAUGCUCCAUAAACNNNNNNNNNNNNNNNNNNNNNNNNNNNNNNNNNNNNNNNNNNNNNNNNNNNNNNNNNNNNNNNNNNNNNNNNNNNNNNNNNNNNNNNNNNNNNNNNNNNNGUUGUCAAUCCCUUCACGAUUAAUUGCAAGGUGAGAUCUGAAGGUGGAAAGUGCAACAAAGUAAAAGUGUAGAGCUGAAAAUAUGAUGUGAAGCAGACCCGGGGGCCAUAGUGUUCACUAGAGGCUUCUCUCAUGAUAGCAAGUAUUACGGUGGGUGAACGAAUUACCGUCAAGCAAUUGAUAGAACCGCGCAAAGUCAUGAUGAUAUCUAAGGCAAUGAUAAUACAUAUAGGCAUCACGUCCGAGACAAGUAGACUGAUACUGUCUGCAUCUACUACUAUUACUCCACACAUCGACAGCUAUCCAGCAUGCAUCUAGUGUAUUGAGUUCAUAACAAAUAGAGUAACGCAUUAAGCAAGAUGACAUGAUGUAGAGGGAUAGAUUCAUGCAAUAGAUAUAAACCCCAUCUUUUUACCCUUGAUGGCAACAACACGAUGCGUGCCUCACUACCCCUUGUGUCACUGGGUGAGGACACCGCACGGUAUGAACCCAAAACCAAGCACUUCUCCCAUUGCAAGAAUUAUAGAUCAAGUUGGCCAAACGAAACGCACAACUCGAAGAGAAUUACAAGGAUACGAAAUCAUGCAUAUAAGAGACNNNNNNNNNNNNNNNNNNNNNNNNNNNNNNNNNNNNNNNNNNNNNNNNNNNNNNNNNNNNNNNNNNNNNNNNNNNNNNNNNNNNNNNNNNNNNNNNNNNNCUCUUAUUAAUUGCAACAAUGACUGAGGUCUAUGUUGAUUUAUUCUCAACAAGUUUCAAUCAUCAUACUUGUCAUAAGUGAAGUUAUCACUUUCCAUAAGAUCGUCUCAUGAUCUUUCAUGCUAUCUUUCUUUUCAUACUUUUGAUCAUGGCACAAAGCAAAGCCCUUGACUAAGACACUCUUUAUUAUAUAGCUCGUAAGCUCGAAUACAUAGGGGGAGAGACAAAAGUAAAAGACGCAAACUAAAAACUAAAGACUUAUUCCUCUAAAAUAAGAAAUAAAAACUGAAAAGGAAAGAACUAAAACAAAGGUAAAAGCAAAAGAUAUAAAGGUGAAACGAUACCACGGCAACUCCCCCAAGCUUGGCAGAAGCCAAGGGGAUUGCCCAUACCAAUGCUUAGUUGUCUUCCUUUGGUGGUGAUGGUGGUGUUGUUGGAGUAGUCUGAUCCUCCGUCUUCCAAGGCAUAUGUGCUCCAUCAUGGCAGGAUGAACGAGUAGCCGGAAUCCUCAAAUCUGCAGCCAACCUUAUUGAUUUAAAUCUGUACUCAUACUCACAGUUUUGAUUCUGCAGGUCAUAGAUCUGGCCCUGAAGUUGGUCAACCCUAUCGUAAAGCCUAGAGAGGUGUUUCCCAAUAUCAAUGGCAUCCAUCUUGUGAUUGCUAGUGAAGUCCGUGAUCAUCGUGUGGUUGGCGUUGAGUCCAUGCUCAACCAUCCCUUGGCACUUGAAGAUUUGUUGCUCCAUUGCUUCGAGCCUCGUCUCCAUGCUUCCGGUCUUCUUAGGCCCCUCAACAUCACGGAUGUGCAACAUCCCCUCGCUCAUCUUGAUAGAUUGAGGGUGUUUCAGCACUUCCAUGAGGUAAGGAUUGAUGACCUUCUCGAAGAUCUUGUCCUUAGGAGCGUUUGGGGAAGUCAUGAUCAUCUAGAUCUGCGGCAAAAACAGGCUCGAAACGAAAACAAAGGAAAUCUAAGCGAUACAGAGAUCAAAACCUUCGGGCAACCAUAUAUUGAUUUUUUCUGGACCAGAAGGAGUCCUCCGCAAGAAAACGGAGUCCGGGAGGCAGACGAGGUGCCCACAAGCUUGCCCACCGCCACCAGGGGGAUGGUGGCGGAGUGGGCCCUUGUGGCUGCCUCGUUUGCUCUCCGGACUGUUUUUUAUUUUUUAUUUUUCCAAAAAUUCCAAAACUGAGGAAAUUUCCUAUUGGAAAAGCAUCGGAGUCCAAUUUCUUGCCGAAACAGAUACAUCUUCGUUUUCAAGGUCUGAAACAGGCUGAUAAACAUCCCUUAUGUACUCCUCUUGAGUUAUAACAUUGAUGAUAUUGGUCUCAACAUUUAUUGGAGUACCAGAGAUGUAAUGCUUGAUUCUUUGCCCAUUUACCACUCUAGGAAAAUUUCCUUCCGUGUUAUUGAUUUUGAUGGCACCGGAAUGAUAUACUUCCUCAACAACAUAGGGACCUUCCCAUUUAGAGAGAAGCUUGCAUGCNNNNNNNNNNNNNNNNNNNNNNNNNNNNNNNNNNNNNNNNNNNNNNNNNNNNNNNNNNNNNNNNNNNNNNNNNNNNNNNNNNNNNNNNNNNNNNNNNNNNUCUUUGGUGCUCAAACCAUAAGUGGCCCUCAUCAUGGAUUCAUAAGGCAAUCUUAUUUUCUUUCUAGGAAAGUGUUACAUGCCCUUCCUUAAAGGAAAUUGAAAUCUAAURUUCCCUUCCUUCAUAUCRAUGAUAGCACYRAUAGUCCUWAGGAAAGGUCUACCAAGAAURAURGGRCAUGUMGGAUUGCAAUCAAURUSAAGCAYAAUGAAAUCCACGGGUACAUAGUUCCUAUUUUAAAUAAUAAGAACAUCAUUGAUCCUUCCCAUAGGUUUCUUAACAGUAGAAUCCGCAAGAUGCAAAUUAAGAGAGCGCUCAUCAAUCUCGUUGAAGCCUAGAACAUCACAUAAAGACUUUGGAAUAGCGGAAACACUAGCACCCAAAUCACACAAAGCAUUGAAUUCAUAGUUUUUAAUCUUGAUUUUUAUAGUAGGUUCCCACUCAUCAUGAAUUUUUCUAGGAAUAGGAACUUCCAACUCAAGUUUCUCUCCAAGAGAUUUCAUCAUAGCAUUAACGAUAUGAUCGGUAAAGCCUUUUUUGGCUAUAAGCAUGUGGAGAGUAUAGCAUGGAUUGCAUCAAGGAAAUACAUUCAAUCAAAGAGAAACUAUCAUAAUUGAAUUCCUUGAAAUCCAAAGUAGUAAUUUCAUUACUACUCAAAGUUUUGAUAUCCUCUAUUCCACUUUCAGUGCUUUUAGCAUCAAGAUAGAUAGACUCCGAAUCAUUGGGGGCGUUUCUCAACCAAAGUGGAUUCAUAUCCAGCCCCUUCAUCAUUAGGAUUGACAUUAGAAAACAAUGAUUCAAUAGGAGUCACACCAAGCACUUUAAGAUCUUCGUGAUUCUCAUCACGAGAACACGCCUUUUUAAGCCAUUCAUGUCUAGCACGAAUUUGGGAGGUUCUUCCUUUACUCUCAUUCAUGGAAGCACGCAUAGCUUUCAAAGUUUCAUCCAURUUUAUUUUGGGAGGAGCACAUCUAACUUUCAAAGCAUCAACAUCACUAGACAUUCUAUCAACGCUCUUAGCCAAAUCGUCAAUUUUGAGUAGCUUUUCCUCUAUGGACGCAUUGGAAAUCUUUUGAGAGUUGAUGAACUCUUUGAUAUUACUCUCUAGAUCAGAGGGUAAUCUAUUGUAAUUUCCAUGAGUAUUGUUGUAGGAGUUGCCAAAAUUAUUAGAGGAGUUACUAGGAAAAGGCCUUGGAACAUAGUUUCCUCUAAAAGCAUUGUUGUUGCCAAAGUUAUUCCUACCAACAAAAUUAACGUCCAAGCUAGCGUUGCUACUCUCAAUCAAAGAAGACAAGGGCAUAUCAUUAGGAUCCAAAGGAGCACUUCUACUAGCAACCAAAUUCAUGAUAUCAUUACGGAGAGAGAUAAUCUUAGCCGGCGGAAAAUACUUGGACAUAUAAGCAUCUUUGCACUUAUCCCAAGAAUCAAUACUAUUUUUGGGCAAAGAAGAAAACCAAGUUUUUGCGCGAUCUCGCAACGAGAAAGGAAAAAGCUUCAAUUUAAUCACGUCAUUAUCCACAUCUCUCUUCUUUUGCAUAUCGCAAAGCUCAAUGAAGGUAUUGAGAUGGGAUGCGGCAUCUUCACUAGGAAGGCCGGAGAAUUGCUCUUUCAUAACAAGAUUCAGCAAAGCGGCAUUGAUUUCGUAAGACUCCGCACUAGUGGCGGGAGAAUCGGAGUACUAAUAAAAUCAUUAUUAUUAGWWUUGAGAAGUCACAAAGUUUGGUGUUUUCAUUCAUGGUGACUUAGGCAAGCAAGCAACCACACAAGAAAACAAAGAGCAAGCAAGGAUAAAGGGUGAACGGAAAGGCGAACGAAAAAGGCAAAUUGUGAAGUGGGGGGAGGAAAACGAGAGGCAACUAGCAAACAAAGUAAAUGCAAGAGAUGAGUUUGCGACACCUACUUGGAUGACUUCUUGACUUGAUCUUCCUCCCUGGCAACGGUGCCAUAAAUUCUUCUACUACGGCAACAAACAACAGCGCCAGAAAUUGACACGUUGACGGAGACUGGGCUUGCGUUGGUUUUUCCCUUGAAGAGGAAAGGGUGAUGCAGCACAGGAGCAGUAAGUAUUUCCCUUAGUUUGAGAACCAAGGUAUCGAUCCAGAAGGAGGGUCUCGUCAAGUCCAGAGUACCCGCGCAAACACAAACAAGCUUGCACCCAACGCUUCAAAGGGGUUGUCAAUCCCUUCAAGAUUGUUUGCAAAGUGAGAUCUGAAGGCGGAAAGUGCAACGAAGUAAAAAAGUGUAAGGCUGAAAAUAUGGUGUGGAGUAGACCCGGGGGCCAUAGUGUGCACUAGAGGCUUCUCUCAACCUAGCACUUCUCCCAUUCCAAGAAUCAUAGAUCUAGUUGGCCAGGCAAAACCCACAACUCGAAGAGAAUUACAAGGAUAUGAAAUCAUGCAUAAGAGAGAUCAGAAGAAACUCAAAUAAGAUUCAUAGAUAAUCUGAUCAUAAAUCCACAAUUCAUCGGAUCUCGACAAACACGCCGCAAAAGAAGAUUACAUCAGAUAGAUCUCCAUGAAGAUCAUGGAGAACUUUGUAUUGCGGAUCCAAGAGAGAGAAGAAGCCAUCUAGUUACUAGCUAUGGACCCGUAGGUCUAUGGUGAACUACUCACGCAUCAUCGGAGAGGUCAUGGUGUUGAUGAAGAAGCCCUCCGUAUCCGAAUCCCCCUCUGGCAAGGCACCAGAASRUAGCCCCAGAUGGGGAUAUUUGCGGAGACAAAAUCUUGCGGCGGCGGAAAAGUACUUUCGAUGAUCUCCUAAAUUUUUUUGGGGAUUUUUUAGGGGAAUAUAUAGGCGCAACCCCUAGGGCAAAGGGCGUCCAGGGGGCCACAAGCCUGUGGGCCGCAGCCUCUCCCCCUGGCCGCGGGGUGAGGGCUUGUGGGGCCCCUGGGCCCCCCUGCCUUGGCUCUCAAGUCUCUUGAUCUUCUUCCGUUAUGGGAAAAUUCUUUUCGGGGAUUUUAUUCUGUUUGGACUCCGUUUCAAAAUCUCCUCUGAAAGGGGUCAAAAACAUGGAAAAACACAAGUUGGCACUUGGUACUGAUUUAAUAAGUUAGUCCCAAAAAAAUAUAUAAAAGGCAUGCAAAACAUCCAAAGUCUGACAAGAUAAUAGCAUGAAACCAUCAAAAAGUAUAGAUACGUUGGAGACGUAUCAGUGGAGGGGGAGUAAAAACUUUACUAUUCUCUUUGGGAACCGCCUAUAAUGUAUCUAGCAUGGAAGAUAUUGAGAUCUCUUAGUUGUUAUGUUGACAAUGAAAGCAUACCGCCCAAAAUUUUGAUUCACCCCUGUUUUAAAAGCUCGAGCUCUGGCACCUCUGUAAAUUAAUGCUUCCCUGUGUGAAGGGCCUAUCUAUUUUACUUUACUGUUGAGUCAUCCUCUUCUUAUAAAAAGGCACUAGUUAGAGAGCACCCCCAUCAUUUGUAUGCUUUGGUAUUAAUUGAUAUUGAGUAUGAGUAUGACUAAAUCUCUUUUACCAUGAAUUACAAUGUCCUGUCAGUCCUUGUUCUUCGGAGGUGCUCUGCAUUUAUGUUUUGCGAUCUCAAAAAGGGCUAGCGAGAUACCAGUUUAUCAUAUUGUAUUAUGAUUGUUUUGAUAAAAUUGUUGUCAUCUGAGACUUAUUAUUAUUUCUCGCUAGUUGAUUACGCCGUUGAUACAAGUAAAUGUGAUACCUAAAAUAUUAUUGUGAAUGCGGUUAGUCUAUAAUCGUAGGUGAAGAUCCAAACAUCAGUUAGACAUAUUUACAACAGCAAGAUCAAACAGAGUUUGUAAAAGUUUUUAUUUAUCACUUUCAGUUUAUCAACUGAAUUUAUUGAGGACAAGAAAAGGUUUAAACUUGGGGGAGUUGAUACGUCUCCAACUUAUCUACUUUUCCAAACUCUUUUGGCCUUGUUUUGGACUCUAAUUUGGAUGAUUUGAAUGGAACUAACCCGGACUAACGCUGUUUUCAGCAGAGUUACCUUGGUGUUAUUUUUGUGUAGAAAUAAAAGUUCUCGGAUUGACCUGAAAAUUUAUGGAGAAUAUUUUUGGAACUAAUAAAAAAUAUUGGAGAAAGAACCAACCGGAGAGGGGCCACCACCCGGCGACAAGCAUGCAGGGCGCCGCCCCCCUAGGGCGCCCCCUGGCAUGUGGGGCCCCUGUGGCUCCUCCAACCUUGUUUCCACUUCUAUAUACUCCUAUUCGAGGAGAAAAAAAUCAGAGAGAAGAUUUCAUCAUUUUUUACGGUAUGGAGCCGCCGCCACCUCGUGUUUUUCCUCGGGAGGGCAGAUCUGGAGUCUGAUUUGGGAUCCGGAGAGGGGAAAUCAACGCCGUCGUCAUCAUCAUCCGUCCUUCAUCACCAAUUUCAUGAUGCUCUUGGUCGUUCAUGAGUAAUUCCAUCGUAGGCUUGCUGGACGGUGAUGGGUUGGAUGAGAUCCAUCAUGUAAUCGAGUCAGUUUUGUUAGGGUUUGAUCCCUAGUAUCCACUAUGUUCUGAGAUUGAUGUUGCUAUGACUUUGCUAUGCUUAAUGCUUGUCACUAGGGCCCGAGUGCCAAGAUUUACGAUCUGGACCUAUUAUAUUUUCAUGAAUAUAUAUGUGUUCUUGAUACUAUCUUGCAAGUUGUAGACACCUAUUACGAGUUAUGAUCCGCAUCCCCCAGGGUGACAAUAACUGUGAUUCUUUCCGAUCAUUACCGUAGUUUGAGGAGUUCAUGUAUUCACUAAGUUCUAAUGCUUUCGUCCGAUUCUCUAUUUAAAAGGAAGCCUUAAUAUCCCUUAGUUUCCAUUAGGAGCCCGCUGCCACGGGAGGGUAGGACAAAAGAUGUCAUGCAAGUUCUUUUCCAUAAGCAUGUAUGACUAUAUAUGGAAUACAUGCCUACAUUACGUUGAUGAAUUGGAGCUAGUUUUGUAUCACCCUAUGUUAUGUCUGUUGUAUGAUGAAUGCCAUCCGACAUAAUUAUCCAUCACUGAUCCAUUGCCUACGAGCUUUCCACAUAUUGAUCUUUGUUAAGUUACUUUUUCGUUGGUAUUAUUACGAUCACUACAAAACUGCUACUAUCACGUUUGCCACCGUUAUCGUUACUUCCAUACUACUUUGCUACUAAAUACUUUGCUGCAGAUAUUAAGUCUUUCACGUGUGGUUGAAUUGACAACUCAGCUGCUAAUACUCAAGAAUAUUGUUCGGCUCCCCUUGAGUCGAAUCAAUAAAUUUGGGUUGAAUACUCUACCCUCGAAAACUGCUGCGAUCUCCUGUACUUGUGGGUUAUCAAGACCUUUUUCUGGCGCCGUUGCCGGGGAGCAUAGCUUUAUUCUCUGGGUCACUUGGAAUUUAUAUAUGCUGAUCACAAUGAAGAAUUUGAAAGACGCUAAAAACCAUAAUAUACCCCUCAACUACGAGGACAGGUAAGGAACUGCGAUCUAGCUUUGCACUUGAUUCACCGUCUGUUAUGAGUAAAUUUGCGACACCACCACCUGCUACUGAAUCUAAUAUGUCGCAAGUAAUUGAUGAUGCUACUUCUGCUACACAUGUUUAUUAUGAUGAUACUUUGCUUGAUACUAUUGUGCCACUUGGUGAAUUUCUUGAUGAACAAAUUGCUAGAGUGAAUGCUGAAACGAUGAUACUACUGAAUCUGAUGAAAUUAGUGAAACUGAACACUAUGAUGCACCUGUUAGACCUAGCUCUCCUAGAUACGAAUUGCCUAAUAUACCUAAAGGUUAUGUUAUGGAAGGAGAGGUGGCCUGGGACUCUCUUGCUUGUAAGGAUAGAGCUGAUCUUAAGAAAUUGCUAUGCAAGUGGAAGGAAAAAAAUCUCUGAAUGCUAGAAUGAAUAAGAUCCCAAGUUUGUUACUUCACCCAUCUUUGUUACUGAUAAGGAUUAUGAAUUCUCUGUCGAUCCUAAGUUAAUUACUUUUAUAGAAUCUCAUCCUUUCCAUGGUUAUGAAUGUGAAACUGUUGUGGCACACCUUACUAAAUUGAAUGAUAUAGCCACCCUAUUUACUCAUGAGGAAAAAAAUCGUUAUUACUAUAUUCUUAAGUUGUUUCUGUUCUCAUUAAAGGGUGAUGCUAAGAUAUGGUUUUAAUUCUCUUGCUCAUGGUUGUGUGCGUAGUCCCAAGGAUAUGAUAUUUUACUUCUCUGAAAAGUAUUUUCCUGUCCAUARRAACAUGUUGCCUUGCAGAAAAUAUUUAACUUUGUGCAUACUGAAGAAGAGAGUCUCCCACAAGCUUUGGGGAGUCUUCUCCAGUUGCUUAAUUCUUUUCCUGGUCACCUUCUCAAGAAAAAUGAAAUACUUGAUAUCUUUUAUAAUGGACUAACCGAUGCUUCUAGGGACNNNNNNNNNNNNNNNNNNNNNNNNNNNNNNNNNNNNNNNNNNNNNNNNNNNNNNNNNNNNNNNNNNNNNNNNNNNNNNNNNNNNNNNNNNNNNNNNNNNNCCUGAAUUUAUCCCUCUACAUCAUGUCAUCUUGCUUAAAGGCGUUACUCUGUUUGUUAUAAACUUAAUACACUAGAUGCAUGUUGGAUAGCGGUCGAUGUGUGGAGUAAUAGUAGUAGAUGCAGAAAGUAUCGGUCACUUUUCUCGGACGUGAUGCCUAUAUGUAUGAUCAUUGCCUUAGAUAUCAUCAUGACUUUGCGCGGUUCUAUCAAUUGAUCGACGGUAAUUCGUUCACCCACCGUAAUACUUGCUAUGAUGAGAGAAGUCCCUAGUGAACACUAUGGCCCCCGGGUCUACUUCACACAUAUUUUCAUCCUUACACUUUUACUUUGUUGCACUUUACGCCUUCAGAUCUCACCUUGCAGUUAACCGUCAAGGGAUUGACAACCCCUUUGUAGCGUUUGGGUGCAAGUUUGCUGUUUUUGCGCAGGUACUUUGGAGACUUGCCUUGAUACUCCUACUGCAUUGAUACCUUGGUUCUCAAACUGAGGGAAAUACUUACUGCUACUGUGCUGCAUCACCCUUUCCUCUUCAAGGGAAAAACCAACACAAGCUCAAGAGGUAGCAAUAAGAAUUUCUGGUGCCGUUGCCGGGGAGGAGGAUCAAGUCAAGAAUAGUCUCCCGUUAACGUGCCAAUUUCUGGCGCCGUUGCCGGGGAGUAUCAAGUCAAGAAUAGUCUUCCUCCAAAGUGUCAAUUUCUGGCACCGGGGACUGUUCUGAGUGAAGCUUAUCCAAGUAACUGUCACAAACUCAUCUCUUGCAUUUACUUUUUUGCCUCUCGUUUUCCUCUCCCCCACUUCUGAAAAACAAAAUUUUAAAAAAGAUUUGCCUUUUUUGUUCGCCCUUUCCUUUCGCUUGCUUUCUGCUUGCUUGUGUGGGAUAGUCUACCUGUCCUCAUGACUAGAGCCACCGCUUCAAACGAUACUCCCGAGAGCGAGGUUCUCAAUUUCAAACAAAAUGAGGGAGAACUUAAAGGAUGCUUGGUAUAGGAUUUGCAAUGCUCAGAGUAGAUCUACUCGUAAGCAAUCUACUACCGUCCUACUUUGCAGCUUUUAUGUGGGUAUUUCCCCUUGGAAUAGGUAUGUUCUUGACACCAUCAUAGGCGGAAAUUUCUUGGGUAGCCAUACGGUUGAUUCUGACGGUGCUUUAAUAAAUUUGGUAGGUUCACCCCCACUCAUGGUUAAUGGAACUACCUUAACUCUGGAACAUGUGAUGCGUAGACUGGAUAUCUUUGAAAAUAAAGUUGCUACAAUUGAACUCAUUGAGAAUUUGGAUAAAAAGAUCCAUAAUCAAAUCACUUAGUACGGAUCCAAGGUGGGAAUGACUUUGAAAAACUUAAAGGAGAGGGAACUCACCGUUAAUGAAGAACUAGGUCAUGAUUCCGCUAGGAUUGGCAAACUAGAGGAUGUUAUAACCAAUUUGGGUUCUGCUUUUGCCGCUGUGCAGAAUACUCCAAAUUUUGCCCACAAUAAGGCCACCAGUUCUGUUUUUGUUCCUAAAAAUAGUGGUGAAUCAUCUAGUAAAAGGGAUGAAGAUCUUAAGAUGAUGAGUGUUCACCCUACUUAUGGUUUGAGCACCAAAGACGACGAUACGUGAUGCUAUCGCCUUAUGCCUAGCUAAGGGAAUUAAACAAUAGCGCGUGUUGGGAAUUUAUCUUUGCUUUUUUGCUUUCUGUUUUGUUGCAUCCACACCAUCAUAAUUCUGUUAUAGUUGUGUUUUUUGUGUUUCUUCUUGUGUUUGUGCCAAGUAAAACCUUUAUGACUAGUUUUGGUGAUGGUUGAUUGAUCUUGCUGAAAAAGACAGAAACUUUUUGCUCGCAAAAUUAUUUUUCAUUUUUAUCCAGAAAUAGAUUUUGAGUUGAUUAUUUUUGCUGCUAGUUGAUAUGCAAAUUUCCCAAAUUUUCGUAAUUGUUCAGAAUUGUUGAGAUACCAGAAGUAUACGAAGUAUACAGAUUGCUAUAGACUGGUCUGUUUUUGACAGAUUCUAUUUUUGUUGUGUUGAUUUCUUAUUUUGAUGAAACUAUGGAUAGUAUCGGGGGGUACUAGCCAUGGAAAAGUGAUAAUACAGUAAUCUAACACCAAUAUAAAUAGAAAUCAAGUUUGCUACAGUACCUAAAGAGGUGGUAGUUUGUUUUCUUAUACUAAUGAUAUCACGAGUUUCUGUUUAGUUUUUGUGUUGUGAAGUUUUCAAGUUUUGGGUGAUGUUCUCAUGGACAAUGGGAUAAAGAGUGGAAAGAUCUCAAGCUUGGGGAUUCCCAAGGCAUCCCAAGCCAAAUUCAAGGACACUAAAAAGCCUAAGCUUGGGGAUGCCCCAGGAAGGCAUCCCUUCUUUCGUCUUCAAUCCAUCGGCAACGUUACUUGGAGCUAUAUUUUUAUUCACCAUAUGAUAUCUGUUUUGCUUGGAGCGUCGUGUAUUAUAGGAGUAUUUUCUUUUUGUUGUGUCACAAUCAUCCUUGUUGCACACCUUUCGAGAGAUACAUGCACUCAUCGUGAAUUUGCUAGAAUACUGAUUGAGCUUCGCUUAUAUCUUUCGAGUUAGGCAGUUUAGCUCACAUGUGCUUCACUUAUAUCUUUUUGAGCUAGAUAACUUUGCUCUAGUGCUUCACUUAGAUCUUUUUAGAGCACGGCGGUGUCAUAUUUUGGAGAAAGAAAAACUCUCAAUCUUCACUUAUAUCUUUUUGAGAGUACUCUCUUUGAGUAACUUUGUAAUUGGCUUCUGCUAUGAAAGUAGUCCUAAAGAUGAUAGGCAUCCAAAGAGGAUAUAAUAAAAACUUCCGUAUUCAUGUGCAUUGAUUAUAAAGAGAAGUUUGAUUCCUCUCAAUUAGUUUUGAGACAUGGAUAUGUUAAUAUAAGAGUCAUGUUAGUAGGGUGUUGUGAAUCUAGAAAUACUUGUGUUGAAGUUAGUGAUUCCCGUAGCAUGCACAUAUGACGAAUCGCUAUGUUAGGAAGUCGGAGCAUAAUUGAUUUAUUGAUUGUCAUCCUUUGUGUUGCGGUCGGGAUCGCGUGAUGGUUAACACCUACCAACCCUUCCCCUAGGAGUAUGCGUUUAGCACUUUGUUUUGAUUACUAAUAAAAACUUCCGCAAUAAGUAUAUGAGUUCUACAUGACUAAUGUGAGUCCAUGGUAUAGAUGCACUUUCACCUUCCAUCAUUGCUAGCCUCUCUAGUACCGCGCAACUUUUACCGGUGCACAAACCCACCAUAUACCUUCCUCAAAACAGCCACCAUACCUACCUAUUAUGGCAUUUUCAUAGCCAUUCCGAGAUAUAUUGCCAUGCAACUCCCACCGUUCCGUCUCAUGACUUGUGCCGUCACUUUCAUAUUUUCAUUGCAUGAUCGUAAGAUAGCUAGCGAGAUGUUUCAACGUCAUACGCUAAGCUAGAUCAUUGCACAUCCUGGUACACUGCCGAAGGCAUUUCCUAUAGAGUCAUCAUUGUUCUAGCAUUCAGCUGUGAGUAAAUAAAAGUGUGAUGAUCAUCAUUAUUAGAGCAUUGUCCCAUGUGAGGGAAUAAAAAAAGGCCAAAGUUUCCCACAAAAAAAUAUGUACGGAAAGAGGCCAAAGUGCCCAAACAAAAAAAUUGAAAAAAUGAGAGAAAAAGAGAGAAGGGACAAUGCUACUAUCUUUUUCCACAGUUGUGCUUCGAAAUAGCACAAUGUUCUUCAUGAUAGAAAGUCUCUUGUUUUGACACUUCCAUAUACUAGUGGGAAUCUUCAUUAUAUAACUUGGCUUGUAUAUUCCAAUGAUGGGCUUCCUCAAAAUUGCCCUAGGUCUUCAUGAGCAAGCAAGUUGGAUGCACACCCACUAGUUCCUCUUUUGAGCUUUCACAUACUUAUAGCUCUCGUGAAUCUGUUGCAUGGUAAUCCCUACUCAGUCACAUUGAUAUCUAUUGAUGGGCAUCUCCAUAGCCCUUUGAUACGCCAAGUCGAUGUGACCAUCUCCUCCUUUUUGCCUCACAACCUCCACCACACUCUAUUCCACCUAUAGUGCUAUAUACAUGGCUCACGCUCAUGUAUUGCGUGAGAGUUGAAAAAGUUUGAGAAUGUAAGAGUGCGAAAACAAUUACUUGGCCAAUACCAGGGUUGUGCAUGAUUUAAAUUCGUUGUGUGGGGAUGAUGGAGCAUAGCUAGACAUUAUGAUUUUGUGGGGAUAACUUUCUUUGGCCUUGUUAUUUUGAAAGUAUUAUUGUUUUCAUGUCAAUAGCAAACUAUUGUUUUGAUUCUCAUGGAUCCGAACAUUCAUGCCACAAGAAAGAAGUUAGAAAGGACAAAUAAGUUAGGUAGCAUUCCACAUCAAAAAUUCAGUCUUUAUCACUUCCCUACUCGAGGACGAGCAGGAGUUAAGCUUGGGGAUGCUUGAUACGUCUCCAACGUAUCUAUAAUUUUUGAUGGUUCCAUGCUAUUAUCUUGUCAUCUUUGGAUGUUUUGUAUGCAUGAAUAUGCUAUUUUAUAUAUUUUUUGGGACUAACCUAUUAAGUCAGUGCCAAGUGCCAGUUCCUGUUUUUUCCGUGUUUUUGACCUUUUUCAGAGGAGAAUAUCAAACGGAGUCCAAAAGGAAUAAAACCUCCGAAAAGAUUUUUUCUAGAACAGAAGACACGCGGGAGACUUGAGAACCAAGGCAGGGGACCUCGGAGGAGGUCACAAGCCACCCAGGCCCGGCCUAGGGGGGCGGGCCUAGCAGGCUUGUGGGCCCCCUGUGGCUCCCCUGCCCUAGUUCUUCCAUCUAUAAAUCCCCGAAAAAUAUGAAACCAUGAAAAAGAGAGCCACGAAAAUACUUUGCCAUCGCCACAAGCUUCUGUCUCCGCAAGAUCCCAUCUGGGGCACGUUCUGGUGMCCCUGCCGGAGGGGGGAUUCGGACACGGAGGGCUUCUUCAUCAACACCAUUGCCUCUCCGAUGAUGCAUGAGUAGUUCACCAUAGACCUUCGGGUUCAUUGCUAGUAGCUAGAUGGCUUCUUCUCUCUCUUGGAUAUUCAAUAGAAAGUUCUCCAUGAUCAUCAUGGAGAUCUAUCUGAUGUAAUCCUCUUUUGCGGUGUGUUUGUCGAGAUCCGAUGAAUUGUGGAUUUACGAUCAGAUUAUCUAUGAAUCUUAUUUGAGUCUCUUCUGAUCUCUUAUAGGCAUGAUUUCAUAUCCUUGUAAUUCUCUUCGAGUUGUGGGUUUCGUUUGGCCAAACUUGAUCUAAAAUUAUUGCAAGGGGAGAAGUGCUUGGUUUUGGGUUCAUACCGUGCGGUGACCUCACCCACUGACAGAAGGGGUAGCAAGGCAUGUAKCGUGUUGUUGCCAUCAGGNNNNNNNNNNNNNNNNNNNNNNNNNNNNNNNNNNNNNNNNNNNNNNNNNNNNNNNNNNNNNNNNNNNNNNNNNNNNNNNNNNNNNNNNNNNNNNNNNNNNAGCGGCCCGGGCGGCGCGGCGCGCACGGCCUCUGCUUGGGCGAGAGGAUCUGGGAGCCGGCGAGCGAGACCAUGGCUGGCUGGCGUCGGCGGGCGGAAUGAUGAUGGAGGGAGGGUGGUGUGCUGGUGGUUGGGCUGGCCGAUGUCCUACUACUGAAAUGUGUACACACACUGUCACGGAGAGACAGACGUAUACGACGCCCGUGCGCAGACACAGUUCACCCACUACGCGCGCGCGCACCGGGAACGG